This 56593-nucleotide long non-coding RNA is filed under the name Phaseolus vulgaris (common bean). Its description in RNAcentral is "long non-coding RNA (PVUL_LNC003624)". Lineage: Eukaryota; Viridiplantae; Streptophyta; Magnoliopsida; Fabales; Fabaceae. The record is from RNAcentral.
UAUUCAAUGGAAGACGAGUUGAAUUAAACUCAGUUGCAAAAUUUUGAACAGACACCAUUGAGCUUAAAUCUAACUUCAUCACAUCAACUUUAGCUGUUGGAAUUUCCUUAAGUAUUGAUUUCUUCAAAUUAUUUGCAUCAAUCAUAUCAAUCACUCCCAUAAUCACAUGCACACCACGCAAUGCAAGAACACGAGCAGUUUCAGCACCAAUACCACUUGAUGCACCUAUUGUGCUUUCAAACAACAACAACUACAAUUAAAAAGUGUGUGUAUGCAACAAACAAACAAAAAAGAAUAGUUUUUUUUUUUAAUUUUAUUUAAUAUAUAUACAUUAUCAAAAUUUAAAUUCAAGAAAAUAUGACAUUUUCUUAAAAGAUAGUCUUGUACCUAAGUUGCAUAGUGCUGAACUCAGUUAACAUCUAAGCAAUUUUGGCUAACCCUCAAUUGUAAGGUUGAGGUAGUUUGUUUGGAAAAUUAUGUCUUAGACCCAAUUUGAAACAGUUACUCCCUACCUUGUUCAAUGAUUUCCACUUGCAUUGGAUGCAUAUUGUUUUUCUAAUUAAGUGUUUUUCUGUCUAAAAGCUUUUAUAAUUUAAGGGUUUAAUUUAAGUUUUAAGUCAUUUAAGUAUUUUUUUAUUAAGUUUUUAUUAAAAAAAUUGUUUUAAUGAGUACUGAGAAGUGGCUAAUUUCAGUAAUAUUUUAUAUUAAAAUAUAGGCACUUAUGAGUAUUAAUUGUUAAUUUAUAUAUAAAAUAAUUCCUAAUUUAUGAAUAAGAGCAUUUUAUUCCCAAAUUUGGUGUUAAUUUCAGUUUUCUAGGGUAGAAUGGAGAUUUGUUCUAAAGAGGAAUGAUAUAAGCUAAAAAGAGAAAGUUGGAAGGUCUCAGGAUGUAUAAAAGUGCCAAAAAAGCCAACUUUGCAACAGGAGAUCUCGCUUGAGCAGGAAUGCUCCAAGGGCGUUUUCGAAAAUCGACGCCUUUCUCGCUCAAGCGAGAAUGUGUCAGAUUAAUUGGGCUAAUUUUAUGUUUUAUGAACCAACCCAUCAGCGUGACGUAGGAAGUCACCUAACUCUAGUAAAUUAGAUUAAAUAGGGGGCUAGAGGCUCAACCCUAGUGUGCCAGAUCGAGAAGAAAACAUCAUUGAGUGAUUUGUAACCAAUUGGGAGAAUGGAAGGUGCUAGAAAUAUGCGUAGCUAGUUCUACCAUUUGGGAUUGUGAGUAAUCUGUUCGAACUCUUAUGUAUUGAGAUGAUAUUUAAAUAUGAUACAAUAUUCUAUUCUUGAUUGAUUAUUGGUAUUGUUGUUUUGCUUCUAAAUAGUUGUGACAUGUUUGAGAAUCUUAAAUUUGACUGGAAAGUAUUUUUAGGGUUCUCACCUAAACAACAAUAAUUAACAUAUUUGAGUGUUAGGAAUAGACUUGAAAUGUUAAUUGUUAUUAACGUCUAAACGUGAUUAUAAGUUGUUUUUGUAAAUAUGCGAGAAAUCGAUAUUUAGGAAACAUUCUUAAUAAUUUUAUAUGCGGGGAAUCAGUGUAAAUGACUUUUCUACGGGCAUCAAUUUCAACCAAAGAACAUAAUGUUAACAUGCUAAUCAAAAUACAUUAGAGUGAGAAAAGAUGAAACAUAAUCCCUAUUUUUCCAAAUUGAAGCAACCAAUUUUUUUCUAUUUUCUUAUUGAUCAUCGCCAACAUAACCACUUUCAACACACUUUUUAUUGUUUUGUUUUAUAUUUAGCGAAUAUUCUACUUGAUAAUUCAACUGUUCCUCAUGGGAUCGAUAUUCGUCCUUAGGGACAAAUUAUUACUUCUGACAAUGUGGUGCACUUGCCAUAAAAGUCAUCAAGUACUUAAAAAAUUUAUAUUUUUCAUUUGAAUUUGUGUCAUUUAAUUUUUCUAUUCGUUAGGUAACACAAGUAUUAUCUUACUCUGUCAUCUUGCUUACUUGUAUUCAUGUGUUAAUAAAUGUGAGGUUUUGCAGUUAAUAUAAAAUGAUAUUAUUAUUAAUGUAAAACAAAAAAGUGACUUGUAUUGAUUUCAUUGAAAAUGUGUUGAUAAGAAUGUUGUCAUACUCCCUUAUGGCUUCCACAUCAUCAUGACCAAAGAACCGUCGUCAUCACCUAUAGGUUACGAUAUUGGCCUUUUGGUCAUUGUAGGUGACAACAAUGAUCUUUUGGUCUCUAUAGAUGAUGAUGUGAACGUCAUCGGGGAGCAUAACGAUCUCAAUAUCUAACACAUUUUCAAUGCAGUAAUAGUCACUUGUCAUUUUACAUUAACCGUGAUAUCAUUUUAUAUUAAUCACAAAAUAUCACAUCACAUUUCUUAACACGUGAAGACCAGUAAACAAUAUGAUGGAGUAAAAUAACAGUCAUGUCACUUAAUUAAAGGAAAAAUUAAAUAGCAAGGAUUAAAUUAGAAAAUAUAGAAAUUGUGACUACUCAGUAAAAAAAAACAAAAAUAAUAGAAACUCAAUUAAAAAUACUCAAAAUUAUAAGGGAAUUGAAACUUAACUAAGCCUAUGGGGGAGUUUAUUGGGGGUUUCUCUGCAUUUCUUAAUAUUUAGACUACUUUGAUUGUUGAGUUUUAUGGAAUUAUAUAUGCUCUGAAGGAAGUUCAAAAGAUGGGUUUACUAAUGUAUGGCUUGAAUGUGAUUUGUCUUGUUUUGUGUUACGUUUACUGCUAGGACUACUGUUUUUUGGAUGCUUCAUAAUCGAUUGAAUACUUGUCUUAAUUAUUAUGGGAAAAUCAGGUUUAGGGUUACUCAUAUUUUUCGUGAAGGGAAUGCGUUGGCUAACUUAGGAUUUAUUCAUAGAGAAUAAUAUCAUUGGUAUAAUAGGCUUUCAUCUAGUUUGUUCAUGGAAUUCUUUAUGAAUAGGUAUAAUUUACCUAUGUAUCAUUUUUAUUAACAUAUGGGUUUUGGUCUAGUCCCCCAUAGUUUUAUUAUAUUUUUUUUUUCUUUUUCCUUUUUGUAAUAAUAUUUUUUCGUGUGAUAUCAGAUGAUUGUUGUUACUUGAGGUGCCAUCAUAACUGAGAUGUCAAGUUGCAUAGUGAUACCUAUUUAUAAAAAAAAUAAGCCUAAUUUAAUUAGAUAAAAAAAUUCUCCCAUUUUUACGAAAUUAAAAUAAAAUCAAUUUUAGUUAUUUUUUGUUUUAAAUAAUUUUAUUUUUAAAAUUUUGUAUUUGAAUAAAGACAUUUAAAUUUAUUAAAUUUAUGGUAUCAAAUAUAAAAAUUUAUUUUCCUAUUAAAUAUUUUAAUAAAUUAAAAUAUUAGUUAGAGAGUUAUUUAAUCAAGGUCUACAAGCUUUUUUAAGUUGACUUAGAAAAAAACCUAAAUUAAUAUAGAUUAGGUUUUUUUACAAUAUUAGUUAAAGUUGUUCUAAAUUAUUUCAAUUACUAAUUAAAGUUAUUUUUUUACAAUGUGUCCCCAAACUAACAUUCACUAACACAAUCUUAAACAAAAUAAUGAAAAAUAUUUUUAAAUUAACAUCUAAUUUUAGCUAAUAAAAUUUUAAUUAUAAAUCAUUUUAAAAUUUAAAUUAGUUACUAAUUUAAUUAAAGAUGGAUUUAAAAUGUAUAGUUAGUAAAUAAAAUAUUAAUUAAUGUAAACUUUUAAUUUAAAAAUUUGCUUAUAAAUUUUAUUAAUAACAAAAAUUACUUUAAAUAUUAAUAAUUUUUAGUUUAUAAAAUAAUAUUAAAUUUAAUCAAUAUAAUUAUUAAUUAUUUUUAUUUUAAAAUUAAUUAUUUGAUAAAAAAAUUAGUUAACACAUCUAAUUAACAACUUGAUGUGGAUAAUCAAUAUUUUAAUUUAAAAAGAAAAUAUAUCAUUAAAAUAUUAAAAUAAUAAGUUGUGAAGGUAUUAAUGCUCUAUUUUUAAAUAUUUGAAAUUUAUUUUUUAUAUGCAUUAUUAUUUUUUCAUUAUCUUAAUACAUUUACUCGUGAAAUGGUAGCAUGUCUCCCCUUUCGCGUAAAAAUCAAGGGCGAUGGUUUGAGAAUACCAUGACAGAAGCUUACUAUCGACUUUCAUUGAAAAAAAAGACAUAAUUAAAUUUAGUCUCUGAGGUAAAAAGAUCAAUGCAUUAACUCUUUACUCAAGGAAAAAUGAUUCAGUGAAAUUCUAACAGAAAUUUAAUUUUCAAUGACUAAAUUGGAGAGACAAUCUGAUAAAAAAGUAUUUCAAAUAUUUGUUUAUUAAAAUCUAAUUUUAUUUUUUUAUAUUUCAUAAGAUAAUAAUUGUUUCUUUACCUUUUUCUUUAAUUAACAUGUAAUGAUAUGAAAAAUAUGAUGAGUGUUGAAUAGAAAAUGAAAAAGCAGUGAGAAAGAGAAAAAGAGCGACCUGUGACAAUUGCAGUGAGAGCGGUAGCAUGGAUCCCUUGAGUAACUUGGAGUGCAGUGGAAGAUGAUGAAAACCCAGAAACUCCUUUUCUACUCAAUCCCCACAUUUUUCUUUCCUGCGUCAAACUCGCUAUGUUGUAUCUUCUGUAUAUUGAUUGCAGGAAUGCAGAAGCAAGCAGUUGCUGAUAUAUAUAUAAAUAUAUGUGUGUGCAGGAACAUCUACACAAAUCAUAAAUGUUACAGCUAGAUACCCCUCCAUUGUGAAUAUUUUAUUAACAUUAUUUACAUUAUAAGAAGGGGUGGUCAACUCUAGAUGGAAUCUAGAUCUAAUAAAAUGAUUUGGAUUCCAAAAUUUAUAUUAUUUUAAUUAGAUUAAAUUUAUUUGAAUUUUUUCAAACUCAAUUAAAAUAAAUUAAAUCUAUAUUAAAUUUACUUUAUUAAUUAAAUUAAAUUUAUUUUAUUAAUUAGAUUAAAUCCAUAUCGAUUUGAGUCUUGAUCGAUUCAGUUUGAAACAGAUCCGAGAACCUAGUCGACUCGGUUCGAUAAGGGUCCAGACUGACUCGACUCAAUCUGGACCUGAGUCGACUUCGCUUAAUAUGGGCCCGGUCUCGACUCAAACUUCAUCCGAAGGGACUCAUCAAGACAUGGGUUCGAGCUGACUCAACUUGAUAUGGGCACGGGCUGCCUCGGCUCAACAUGGACCCGGACCGACUCGACUUCAGCUCUAGCCGACUCGACUUGACCUGGUCUUGAGCCAGGCCGAGUCGGAUCAACAUAGGUUUGAGUCGACUCGGAUCGAUAAGGGCCCAGACCAACAUGGCUCAAUAUUGUCCCCGGCUGACUCAUAUCGACAUGGGCCCGAGUCAACUCGAAUCAACAUGGGUCUGAGUCAACUCGGAUCGACACGGGCUUGGGCCGACUCGUCUCUAUAUGGGUCCGGAUCGACUUUGCUUGACAUUAUCCCAAACCAACUCGACUUCGACCCGGACUGACUCGACUCGACAUCAGCACGGGCCGCCUCGACUCGACUUGGGCUCUAGUCCACUCACCUCGACUUGGGCCCGGGUUGACUCGGGUCGACUUUGUCUUGGGCCAACUCGACUCAAUUUUAGCCUGGAUCGACUAGACUCGACUUGGGCCCGAACCGACUCGGCUCGACUUUGACCCAUACUGACUCAGCUCGACUUGGGCGUUGGCCGACUCGGAUCGACAUGGACUCUGUUCAACUUUGCUCGACCUGGGUCUGGAUUGACUCAGCUCAACCUAAGCCUAAGCCAAGUCAAAAUCCAACCCAAAAUCCAUUUUGGAUAAUCAAAAAAUGUAUGCAAUAUGUAUCUAAUCCAUAUCCAAUUAAAUGGAUUGAAAUUAAAAUCCAAAAAUAUGGAUUUGGAUUUAAGAUAAAUCCAUUUAAAUUGAUUAAAAGUAAUAUGAUAUUGGAUAAUUAUGAAUUGGAUUUCACAAUUUGAAUUUUUUUUUAACCUUAAUUAUAAGUUUUAGUUUUUUUUUUCCUCAUAUUGUUUUUCAUAUAUAUACAUAUAUAUAUAUAUAUAUAUAUAAUAUUAAUUUACAAAAUGGUAUUAUAACUUCCAUAUUUAAAUUUGAAAUAUAUUAUAAUAAAAUCAUUAAAUAAAAAUUAAUUCUAAAGAUUAAAUAUAAUUAGUUACUAUAUUAAUUAAAUUAAAUAUAAUUUUAAAUAUUAAAAAAUUAUUGAUAUUUAAAAUAAUUUCUAUUAUUAAUAAAUAAUUUUUAAACUAUUAAUAAGUAAUUAAAUACAAAUUUAAAAAUUAUUUAAUAAUAAUUGUUGAAAAUCCCACGUCGACUAGAGAUGCGAAUAUUUCAUUGAAUAUAAGUGAGUGCAAACCUCAUCCUAUGAGUUGGUUUUGUGGAUUGAGUUAGGCUUAAAGUCCACUUUGUAAUAAUAAUACAAAUUAUUUUAAAUAUUAAUUAUUUUUUAUAUAAUAAUUAAUUAUUUUUAAUUUUUAAAAUUAGUUUUUUUAAUAAUUUUCUUAAUGAUAGAGUAAAUAGUGUAGUAUUAUUUAAAAUUAGUAAAUAGUCAAGUAAAUAAAGUUAAUCAAUAGAUAUGUUAUAACCUAGUUUUAAUUUUUAUAUAGUAAUAAUAAUAUAAAACUCUUGUUUUAUUUAUUUAUUUACGUUUAGGUAUAAUCAUGAAUUCUUUAUCUCCCUCAGUUUAAAAUGCAUAUAUGAGGGAUGACAUUUGUUGCUGAUAUUUAUGUUUGGAGAAUAUAACACCCCAGAAAAUAACAUCUAACUAUUACAAUACAAGUUCUACGUAUUUCUAUACAAACUUGGAGUUUUUCAAAACAUUCCUAAUACAUGAUUAGGAUUUAUAGAAAUACAAAUAUUUACAUAUCCAUAACUCAAAAUAAAACUCUGAAACCUCUAAGGCUUUCCUGCACCUAUAUGAUCAUCUGCUCGUGUACAUAGUACAGUCAUCGCAGUUUAAACACAACACAAAAAGCAAGGGUAAGCUAGUGAAAAUAAAAUUUUAUAAUAUACAAAAUUAAAUUAAAAUAGAAAAUCAAAUUACAUGGCCAAUUUCUCAAAUUAUUCAAUUUUCUUCAAAUCUCAACAAUAAACAAUCACAUAGAUCUCACAUGGAUCUACAUAUCCAGAAUAUUCAACAAACAAUGUCUUCCGGAAGACCCGUAUUAAGUAAGUCAUACCAGAGACUAACACCUGAUCCAAAGAUUACCAGCGAAUCCAACAGAAAGGAUCAGGGUAAGUUCAAUACAACCCAAGUCAUGCAUCUCAUAUGUCACGGUGUGCAUGAAUUCCCCCAUCAACUUCUCACCACCUGAUAUCUUAGUCUAUGUGACUUAGAUCAUCAGUGAAGCUCGAAGAUCUUUGUUACCACAUAGGCAUCAAUACCUAAUACACAACAAACAUCAGUCCAUACAUUAUCCCAAAUGUAUGAAUUCAAUUCCAUACCAUUCCGUCAUACAAUAUCAUUAAAAAAUGAUCCACAAUAUUAAAAAGUCUAUUUGACAUAAAAAAUAACACUUUAAUACUAAAUCAUCAAAACCGAAUAUUUCCACAAAUUUAAAUAAUAUAUAAACAAACAACCCAAUAUAUAUAAACACACAACAUCCCUCCAAGAGAAAUUGAAUAUUGGGACCACGUCUCUUCCGCAUUCAGAUCUUCUAUCCUAGGGUGCUAUUAAAAAUUAAAUUUAGCUGCCCUUACCUCAAUUGCUUGCUUUCCAAGCAACUUUUAGAAUUUUAUUCCCCACCGUUUGGAUAAGCUUCAAGAUUUACGGGCCUAAUGCAAAUUAUCCAAACAGAACAAAAAUUCAGUAUGUAAUAGAAUAAGUUGAGAGGAUUAAACUUCUCAAAUGACCCCACCAAGAUUGAUGACUAAAUCCUAAGGAAAAAAAGAGAACAAAGGAUAUUUAGAGUAAAAAUGAACUUAGUCUGUUUAAAAAUCUGAUCGAGUAGAAAUGUUUCUUAACUCCUCUACUACAGCUUGGUAUGAUCAGAUUCUAAAAUAGAUGAAGAUUGGGAGAGAAAUUAAAAGAGAGGGAGAGAAGAGAAUAUGGAGAGAGAGAGGAAUGGAGAUAAGGAAGGAAAAAAAAUGCAUGCUGGGCUUCUGUUUCUGUUUUUAAAAAGUGCUGUUACAUUAUCUCCAACUACAAAAAUUUUCUUCCUAUGCUACAUAAAUAAUAAGUGUUGGAACACUUAAAAAAAAAUCCUAGCUUGAAGGUGUUAAUUUUGUUUGUUGGUGCGUCUAGGUUUUUAUGAUUUUUACUAAAUAAAUUAAAUUUAUAUAGGAAUUCUAUAUCAUUUGGUAACACUACAUUAAAUCAUUUUGUAACAAUACAUUAUUUAUCAUUAUUACUAUUGUUAAGUUUAACAUUCUCAACUUAUAAUAUAUUACUUUUCGAAUAUAAUAUUUUAAAUUCCAUUAUUGUUAUUAAAUGAUUUCAAUAUUUUAUUUUACACAUUUUGAUUUUAUAACAUAAAAUAGAUACUUCAGACUGUGUGAAAGACUUUUUUUUCUAAAUACCUUUUAUUUGAUUAACUAUGCAAGGUAAAGAAUUUAAGACUUCUUCUACUCAUCUUUGUAUGAUGAAUUCUAAAAAACUUCAUAACUUAAUUAGGUGAAUUUAGGGUUUAGGUGAGUUACAUUUUAUGAGCUAAAACAUAAAAUACACAUUAGAAUAUUUGUUUAAGUGCUGAAUAAGGUUAUUGAGGAUUUUAGAUCAACUAAAUUGGUAUAAGGCUCUUUUGUGUCUGUAUAAGUUAAAUAGAAAAUUGUGAGUCAAACCAUUUUCAAACAACUUUCAUUCACCCUAUAUAAGAUUUGCCCUUUUUUUCUAAGCUCAGAAGUGGUUUACCAUAUUUAAGCUAAAAAUAUCAUAAUUCAAAAUACUCACAAUGGAUAACGUCACUUAUAACAUCUCUAUAUUUUUUUUCCAUAUUUAAUAUUAUAAUAUGCGUGAAUUUUCAAUGUAUAGUAGUUCAAGUUAUAUUUGUCUUCAUAUAAUUUUUUUACAGACAUCAACAAGUUUUCUUUAUAUAUAUAUAUAUAUAUAUUUCAUCUGUUCAUUGGGAAUAUUUCUCUCCGCAGUCUGAUUUGCUCCUGUGUAAAAUACACGAUUAUCACAGAUAAAAAAAGCAAAACAUAACAAAAACAAGGUAAGCUAGCUGGAAAAAAAUUUGCUAUAUAAAUUCAAUUUCAAUUAACAUAAAGUCAUCAACUUUCAUACAUUUUCUCAAAAUCCGUCAAGUGUCUAUCAUAAUUCAUCUUUCAUAUUACUCAGGUCAGACUUCCAUUGACUAACAUACUUAGACACUUGACUCUACUUUCAAAAGACUCGUGCAUUGACUUAGACUAAAAGAUCUACACCUGUCAUACUAUCUCACUGUUAAAUCCACACAACUAUGCACAUAAAUAAUCUCAAUAUCAUCUUUUCUAGUAUAACAGGGUUAACUCAUAUAAUAGGUCAAGUUAGUUAUCCUUCAAACAAAUUACCAAUUCAGAUGACCUUCUUCAACUCUCACCAUCUGAAUAAUUUCAUCUAUAUUUUUCAUUAUAUUAGGAGAGUCAAGAUAUCUUUUUCUAGAUGAAUCCCUAGACAAUACCCCAAUUUUCGCUUGAGCGAAAAUGGACCCGAGAGCACCUCAUAUUUUCAUUCUAUUCUCGCUUGAGUGAUAAUCUUCUUGCUUAGGCGAUAUAUGCAAAAAACAAUUUGUACAAUAUGAUCUAUUUCACAUUUUCAUCCAAAAAUUUCAAUCAUAUUGUUAUGUUAUCAAAUAUACUAAACCAAAGUAACAAAUUCUCUACUAGAGUUGGAUAAUUACUCUAAUAUAGCUAUUUCAUAAAUCUAUAAUACCAUAUUCCAAUAUCUCUAAAUCAAAAUAACCAAUACUCAGCAAACAUUACCCUUUAAGUGAUUUAUCAAACUAUUCAAAUACAUUCAUUUACUUAUUCUAGUUUCAUUGUCUCCUUGACUGGUUCAGUUAUACCAGUUUUCUUUGAAGGUUUCUCAGCUUCUGAUUCUAGUUUCACUGUCUCCUCGACUGGUUCAUCAUUUAUACCAAAUGAUGCUGAUGAGCUCCUAUUUAUUCUUAUUAUGUUAGUCUUUUAAUAACUUGCGAGAAAUACUUCCUUGCAAGUUUUCAAUUAUCCAAGGAGUAUUUAUUUUCUUUGUCUCCUGUUUUGUUCUGCCCCGAAGGAUUUAUUACUCAUUCAGGUUUAAUCUAGUCUCUCCUCUGUCUCUCUAAUAAAGAUAGUUUUGCGUGGGUCACGGGGCUCCCUCUUUUGUAUAACCUAAAGCUUUAUUUAGCAUACGCAUGACAUUAUACACCUUUACUAAUCCAGGUUAGUGACUUUGAUUGCUUUCCUCUCUGUUUGACUAUAUUGUCUCGCACUUGCGUUCCAUUAAACAUCCCCUCAUCACAGGUUCAUACUAUUAUCCCUCUUUAAUAAUAAAAUCUUACCUGUGGAAGUGGUUACUUAUUUAAUAGUUUUUUCCCCUUCUAAUAGGCAUAAAAAAUGGAAUGGAAGAAGUAUUAAUAUGGGUGCAGUUUUUGUUGAUAUAAAUUAUAUUUCUUACAUUUCAUAAAUUUAUUGUUGUUACAUUUUUUUUUCCUUUUUUUUCUUACAUAUUCUUAAGAAAAAUAAAGUGAAGAAUGACAGUGUGUAAUACUUUAAAUUAGGUUUUAAAUUAGGAACCGAAAAAAAAAGAAAAGAAAUGUAAUGUGAUGUUUAUUUAUUAGGAGAAAAAGAGCGAAAAAAAAUGUUAAUUAGAAUUUUUUAAGUUAAUUAAAUUUUGUAAGUGAAUUAUUAGUAGCAUCCUUGGAUUGUUGCUAGGUAGUUUAAAUUGGUGGAGUUCAUUUGCUGAGAGGAGAGUUCACAUGACAAAUAUUUGUUUUUUUUUUUAUUGUGUUUAUUUAAUUUUGGAUUUUUUUUUUUGAAGUUGUUGGGAAUGGAGUAAGUGUAUACAUUUUUGUUUAAACUAUUUUGUGAAUUAUCUGUUUUGCGAUAAUAUUUUGUGUACUUGAAUUUGACUACUUUGAUUCUUCCAAUUGCAUGUUCACAUUUCUAAUUUAGAUAUGUUUAGUUACAUUUUUAUUAAUUUUUUAUUUAAUAAUUUCCUUGGAAAUUCCUUUUCUAAGUCUACCAAUAUAAUAAUAAAUUUAGUUUUUGGGAUUCAUUUGUGAUCAUUGAACACAUAACGAGAAUAUGCAGAGUUGGAUAAAUUAUAAUUGCACAACUGAUGAAUAUGAGAGCGGUGUAGAACAAUUUAUUGAAUUUGCCUCGAGGAAUGUUCAAGAUAAUAAUGGAAUAUUCUAUUGUCCAUGUGUUAAUUGUUUAAAUGAGCGAAGACUACCAAUUGAAGUAAUACGAGAGCACGUUUUAUGUGAUGGAUUCCUAAAGAGUUACACAAAGUGGAUAUGGCAUGGGGAAUUAAUAGACAUGCUAAGUGCUCAUGUGUCUCGAACAUAAGUAGAAGAAGAAGGGGAUUUGGAGAUGGAAGAUCGGCUAGAGAAAAUGAUUCAUGAUAUUGGUGAUGAUGUCUUCAAACAUGCACAUGUGUACGAAAAUUUGUGCAAUGAUGCAAAAACGUCUUUGUAUCCAGGAUGCAUUAAGUUCACACGAUUGUCGGUAAUAUUAAGAUUGUUCAAUGUGAAGGCAAAAAAUGGGUGGACUGAUAAAAGUUUCACAAAAUUGCUUGAGUUACUAAGUGACAUUUUUCCUGAAGGUAACACGAUGCCAACAUGUAAUUAUGAUUCAAAGAAAAUAUUGUGUUCAAUGGGUAUGAAGUAUAAAAAGAUUCAUGCAUGCCCAAAUGAUUGUGUGUUGUACAAGAAAGAGUUUGAAAAUUUAUGUCAAUGUCCACAAUAGGGGUAUCACGAUACAAGAAAAAAGAUGGUGAUUCUGAAUAUGAUGUUAGAAAGGGUGUUCCUGCAAAGGUGUUAUGGUAUUUUCCUAUAAUUCCAAGGUUGAAAUGAUUAUUCACUAAUGCAAAAUUGAUUAGAUGGCAUGCAGAUGGACGUAAAAAAGAUGGUAUGUUAAGGCAGUCGGCAGAUAGUUUGCAAUGGAAAAGAAAUUGAUUUAAUGUUUCCAAAUUUCGGCAAUGAUCCAAGAAAUAUUAGGCUUGGACUUGCUACAGAUGGAAUGAAUCCAUAUGAUAAUUUGAGUAGUAAACAUAGUUCAUGGCCUGUGUUGUUAGUGAUCUAUAACUUGUCAUCGUGGUUAUGCAUGAAACGUAAAUACACGAUGUUAUCUUUGAUAAUCUCAGGUCUAAGACAAUCAGGAAACGACAUUGAUGUUUAUUUAAGCCCACUAGUUGAAGAUUUGAAAAUGUUAUGGGAAGAAGGCGUUAAUGUCUUUGAUGGGUUCACAGGUAACUCUUUUAAGUUGCAUGCCAUGUUAUUUCUUACAAUCAAUGACUUUCCAGCAUAUGGUAAUUUGAGUGGGUACAACACCAAGGGCCACAAAGCAUGCCCUAUAUGUGAAGAAGACAUAUGUCACUCUCAAAUAAAACAUGGAAGGAAAAUCAUGUACCUUGGACAUCGAAGAUUUCUUAGUUCGAAACAUCCCUUUCGUAAAUUAAACAAAGCAUUUAACGAUUGUCAAGAGAAUGAAUUAGUUUCGACGACUUUAAGUGGGUCACAAGUAUGUGAACGUGUAAAAGACAUUCAAGUUGUGACUGGAAAGACGUAGAAAAAAGUCACAACAAGAAAUAUAUGGAAGAAAAGAUCAAUCUUCUUUGAUCUCCCAUAUUGGAGGGUCCUUGAUGUGAGACAUUGUAUAAAUGUCAUGCAUGUAGAGAGAAAUGUGUGUGAUAGUAUUAUCAGAACACUCCUUAAUAUUCACAAUAAGACUAAAGAUGGAGUCAAUGCUCGUUUGGACAUGGUUGAAAUGGGUAUAAGAGAACAAUUAGCUCCACAAUCUCAUGGUAACCUGACAUACUUGCCUCCAGCAUGUCACACAUUUUCUAAGCAAGAGAAGAAAAGUUUGUGUGAGUUUUUAAGGGGUGUGAAGGUUCCACAGGGUUACUCUUCCAAUGUGAAAAGACUUGUAUCCAUGAAAGAUCUAAAAUUACUUGGGUUAAAAUCUCAUGAUUGUCAUGUUUUGAUGCAACAUUUCCUACUUGUGGCUAUUCGAGGAAUAUUGCCAAAGAAUGUAAGAUAUGCAUUAGCUAGAUUAUGCUUCUUUUUUAAUGUUAUAUGUAGUAAAUUUAUAAACCUUGAAAAGUUGGAUCAGUUAGAGAAUGAGGUUGUAGUUAUUUUGUGUCAAUUGGAGAUGUACUUUCCUCCAUCCUUUUUUGAUAUCAUGGUCCACUUGAUUGUACAUUUAGUAAGAGAAAUUAGACUUUGUGGUCUAGUGUUCUUAUGAUGGAUGUACCCAAUAGAGCGAUACAUGAAAAUAUUAAAAGGGUAUGUGAAGAAACAAUAUCGUCUUGAAGCAUCAAUUGUUCAAAGAUAUAUUGCAAAGAAAGCUAUCGAGUUUUAUACAAAAUACUUGUUAGAAAUUGAAGUUGUAGGGUUACCUAAAUCUCGUCACCAUGGAAUAAUUUCUGGAAAAGGUACUCGAUGUGAAAAAGUGAUGACAUUGACCCGAGAUGAAGUUAUUCAAGCACAUUUUUAUAAACUGAAUAACACUCACAUAGUGAUACCCUACUUAACUGCUCAUAAAGAUAUUGUGAAGAAAAAUCAUCCACAAAUUUCUUAGAAGUGGGUGAUCAAUGAGCAUAACAAGAGUUUUUUGAAGUGGUUCAAAGUGUCAACACAACUUCGGAUACAUUGAAAUGGUUAGCAUGUGAGCCAAACUUUGAUGUCAUAUGUUGGAGUGACUAUGAUAUAAACAAUUAUUCAUUUUAUACAAAAUCUGAAGAUGAAAAAAGAACUAUGCAAAAUAGUGAAGUAAUGGUGGUGUUGAUAUCCCUAUUAACAAUGAAUUGUACGGUGAUGAUCCUCCCCAACAUUUGGAGGCCUUAGGUAAAUUUUAUUCCAAUUAUAUUUUGUUUAUUCCUAUAUAUUUAUGUGGUCUUAAGUAAAAUCUAUAAGUUAGGAUCGAAUAUCCAUCAUCGAACGAUUAAGGAUGAUAUGAUACGAGUGGUGGUUAUAAAUGUUCGAGAUUCUUCUGCUUGAGUUCAUGUGCCCAUUGAGGAGGUUCAACUAGUAGGACAGGCCCCGAGAAAUUUUAUCAUUUGGCCAACUAGUUUGGCAAAGCCGAUUGUAGUAAGGGUUGUUUUUAUCUUUUUUAAUAUCUUCACACAAAUUAUAUUUAUAUACUAAUUUUAUUUAAAUUUAGGAUGAGUCUAAAAAUUCAAAAGUUGUCAACCCUCCACAACCACAAAUGUCUUCUCUCCAACUACUUGGUGCAGUGGUAGUGACAAUUGGAAAGAGAAUUGUCCAAUUAAACAUGCCUCCUGAUAUUGUAGGUAGGACCAGUAGUGUCCCUUUUUUUUAUAUGUCAUAAGGAUAUUUGUGAGAUUGUUACUAGUACUGAUCAACUAUCUAUAUCGGUUCUACAACUUUGGUUGUUGUAAGUAUACUUUCAUUAACCUUUAAAAUAGUUUAAUAUAUUCAUAUUUUACUCUAACAUUAUUUUUUCAAUGUUUAAGGUAUUUACAUCACCUCUACAUCGAGAAGUAGAAUGCUUAUAUUUAUGGAUUUCUUGACCCAGUUGCCAUUCAGAGUGUAGGAAAUAAAGUGAGUGAAGAGCAAACAUACUUAAUAGAAACAUUUCAAAAUCCAGGCAAAGAAGUGUAUUUAGUACCUUAAUUAAUUUGAAACUUAUUUAUUAUUAAUAUUAUUAUAACUUGUAAGGGUCAUUGACAGUUGUUGGUCAUUAUUCCUCGUCAUUUUCUCAUGGUUAUGAGUUUAUCUAUAAAUUAUAUGCAAUUGUUUGAAUAACAUUGAUAUGCAGGUGAUUGUUAUUAAUGAAUUGGGAAAAUGUGACUAAUGAAUGGGUUAGUAUAUAAAUUAUAUGCAAUUUUUUGGAUAACAUUCAUAUAUAAAAUACUUGUUAUGUUUAAAUUAUACAAAAGUUUGAAAUACUUGUUCAAUAAAUGAGAAAUAAAAACAAAAAAUUAGAUGGAUAAAAUUGCUUAAAAAUUAAUGCCCAUGAGCUAAAGUAUUACUCUAACACGAUGAUCUGAGUUGGAAGAUCAUAAUGAAUCCACAAUCAUGUGAUUCAUGCAUUGUUGGAAAAGUUUAGAAACCUUGAUAUAGUUACUAGCUUUAGUACCCUUAUAAUAGCCUUAUGUUGCAAAGAUUGAAAAUCUCGUGUAACUUAAGUUUCUCAACUUAGAUGGGACUCAACUUUUUGAUAAAAAGCUUUCUUUGUAUUAUAGUUUAAUAACUAAUUUUAAUUGGAAAAGAUAAAUGUUUAAGUGGAAAAAAAAGUUACUAUAGUCUUACGUCUAGAUGUUUAGAUAUGAACAUUUUGUGGAUGGUCUGAUAGUACGUGAUACAAUAGGUCCAAUAAAUCCCGUUAAGAUAUGUUUUGAUGUCGCAUGAAAAAGUGAGUUUAAGUUUAAUUCAUUAUCACAAAAUAAAUUUAUAAUUUGAGGUUUACUUCCACUUAUAUACUAUAAUUUGAUCUUACCUAUAACACCACUAUUUCUUAUUAUUUGGCAAUUAUUUUUAGAAAAUAUGAAAUCGAAUUUAUCUAAUAAUUUUUUUUCACUCAACAAUUGUCUCAUUUUUGUUACCAUAAAAUUGAUUCAGUAUUUAUUUUUAAAGAUUAAAGAAAAGUAGAUUAUAAUAUAUAUUCAUUUGAUAAAAAUUCAACAAUAUGUAAAAGAUAAUUUUUUAAAGGUCACACCACGCAAAAUACUUUGUUUAGCCUAAGAGAUAAAAGAAAACAUAUUAUUAUAAUUUGAUUUAGCCUAACUUAUAAAAACAUAUGUUAUAUAUAUAUAUAUAUAUAUAUAUAUUUUCACCCAAAUUUAUGUCAAAGUACUUAAUUUAACAUUCAUAACAAAAUUAACAAAGUUUUAUCUAGUGUAGAUUCCUAUUUAACAAAAGUUGUAUUUUAUACAAAAUUCAAAGUGUACUAAUCUCAUCGUUAUAGUUUGUAUUGUUGUUCUCUUCCUUUGAAAAAGAAGAAAGUAAGGGUGUGUCUUUCCCUUGUCUCUAAAACUUUAUCGUAAAUUUGAAAGUUUUACAACAUAGUUGAUAAAAUAAAUCUGCAAUUGAAUGAAAUAACUUCUCAAAAUAAUAUUGAAAUCAUGAAUCAUAACCAAUCAUGCCCAAAAUAAAUCAAAUUAAUCACAAAAUCGUUUAUAGCAAACAGCAUAAACUUUUGCUAUCAAAUUCAUAUAUGUUAGGUUCAAAGUUUGACACUUUUAAUUAUCCAUCUUUUAAUAAUCACAGCCUCACCCUCAUUAGUACCAAUCAAUUCACAGCGAUGGACCAUGAGGAUCCCCAUACACAUUUGGCUACCUUUUAUGAAUUGGUGGGAACUAUGGGUUUUCAGUCAGGUGAUUUGGAGAGUGUGUAUAUGCGUCUAUUUCCCUUUUCUUUGGCAGGGAAAGUGAAGUAGUGGCUUAAAUCACAUCAUAAUCAGAGCCUAACCAGAUGGAAGGAUGUGGAGGAAAAAUUUCUACAGAGAUUUUUUCCAAUUUCUCGUUACAUUAAAGCUAAGUCUGAAAUUUAUAUGUUCAAACAAGAAGUAGAGGAAUCUUUAUGGGAGACAUGGGAGAGAUUCAAGAUGAUGUUGAGAAAAUGCCCAAAUCAUGGGUUUGAAGAAAUUGUUCAACUAAGCAAAUUUAUUAAUGGUCUUAGGUCUGAUACGAAGAUGCUCCUAGAUGCAGCAGCAGCUGGCACAAUGAUGGUUGUUGAUGUAGAACAAGCAAUGAGAAUUAUUGAUGCUUUGGCCACAACUGAUUAUCAAGCUCAGCAUGAUAGACAAGGUCAUCAAAAGAGAGGAUUAUUGGAAUUGAAUACUGCAGAUGCAUUGUUGGGUCAAAAUAAGAUACUGACACAAUAAAUUGAGAAACUGACUGCAUAGAUGGCAAACUACCCGAAAAGUUGCAUGCGGUUCACUCAUCCCAAAGUCGGAAUAUACCUAUCAGGUGUGAUUUUUGUGGAGGUAAUCAUCCUAAUGGUCACUGUUCUUAUAAGUCCAACUCACCUGAAGCUGAAGUAAAUUAUAUGGGAAAUCAGAGAAGGCAAGGUGAUUUUUCCAAAAAUUAUUCUCCAAAUUGGAAAAAUAAUCAAAAUCAAAAUUUUGGAUGGAAACAAGAUUAUAGUUCAUCCAACAAGCAAGGGCCUUUCAAACAGCAACAUCAAUCUAAUUAUCCAUCCAUCCCUGACAAAAUGAGUAAAGUUGAAGAUGCUUUAUCAAAGAUUGUGAGAUCGCAGAAAAAUAGCACGACCACGAUUAGGAGUAUUGAGAUCUAGAUGGGACAAAUGACCAAACAAAUUGCACAAAUUGUAGAGGGACCAAUUGGCCAAUUCUCAGCCAACACCACAACCAACCCUAAGGAGCAUUGUAAUAAAAUCACUACCGAAAGUGAUAAAAAAAUUAAAAGAAGGAGAUGGUGAGAUGGUGAAUGUUGAGGAAGAAAAAGGAGAAAAUAGAAAAGAGGGAGAUUAAUAUGAAGUUGUAGAGAGUGGAGUUUCAAAAGAAUUAUCCCAUUCUUUUAUGCCCAUAAAAGAAGAAAAGAAAGGAUCUUUUUUUGAUAAAUUGCUUCCAAAAAAAUUAUUUGGCAGGAUGACUGGAGAAAAAAAUAUUCUUUGAAGGAAUUAGAAGGAUGAUGUGUUGCUUUGAAGAAAAGGAGAUAGAGUCGGAAGCUAGAAGCAAUUUUUUGAAGCUAAAAGACUUGUGCAAGAAGUUCAAGGAUCCAAGGAGUUUUAAUAUUCUUGUGUUAAUAAUGCCUUAUUGGAUUUAAGGUCAAGUAUAAAUUUGAUAUCACUAACCAUGUUAAAACAAAUAGGUGACUUAGAAGUUAAACCCACCAUGAUGCAAUUAUAAUUGGCUGACAGAACUGGGAAACAACCUUAUGGUGUGGUAGAAGAUGUUCUUAUCAAGGUAGACAAGUUCGUAUUGUUGAUCAAGAGUGAUCAAAUGCUUUGAAGAAUCCAAAUCCAAUAUGUUUGAUGAAAUGUUGGUGUUGCUAUUGUUUCUGGGUGGAAUGUGAGUAGAACAGAAUGUGAUCCACUCCUUUGUUGAAUCUAAAAUUGAUGUGAUUUAAAACCUUUUUGAAAUCAAGUGUUUUUCCAACUAAGUGAAAAACAACCUGUUGUUUUGCCGAAUCAACCGGUUGUUUUACUCUUAGGAGUUUUGAAAAGGUUGAAAACUAUUUUAGUUUGGUUGACUUAACUGUCAAGCCAAAGAAUCGGUUGCUUCGUGGUUUCAACCGAUUGUUUCUUUGAAAAUCCUAACAGAAUUCAGUUUUGAAUGUUGAAUCUGGUUUAAAUGUUUUUCAACUAAAUACGCUCCUUCAUUAAUUGCUUUUAAACAAAAAUAUAAAUGGUUUGUUUAUGUUUUUAAACAAAAAGAAGAGAAACAAUUUUGAGUUUUUCAGUUGUGAAAAGAUUGAUUCUAAGAUUUGAACAUCCACCUCAAGCUUUGGGUUUUCAAAGAGAGUGGAAUAGGAUUGCAAUUGUAUUGAUUUCAGUUUGUACUGUGAACAAGUGCAAUCUUUUCUAAACCUACUGUAUUUCUGGUGUUGUGUUGCCAAGGAGUGUUGUGUGUUCUUGAGGUGGUCAAGAUCAAUACUCUUGGUGUGUUUUGCCAAAGGUAGUGUGUUUCUUGAAGGGUUCAAGGUCACUACUUUGGUGGUUUGUGUUUUGUAAUCUGGUUUGAUUGCUUAGUGGAUUACCCAGUGGUAUUCUGGGGACUGGAUGUAGCUCUUGGCUUAAGAGUGAACCAAUAUAAACUGUUGGUGUAUCUCUCUCUUACUCUGAACUCAUUUAAAUUUUGUUUUAAGCUUUGCUGAUAUAAACAACCGAUUGUUUCGAAGAAACAAUCGAUUGUUUUUCGUUUGCUUUUCUGUUUUAUUGCUUAAAUUCUUGGCAACCUUGAUUCCUGUUCUGGAUUCACACAAAGAAUUUUGUUAAACCUGAAAAAGUUUUCAAAAACCUCUCUUAAACAAUUCAUCCCCCCUCUCGUUUAAAGCCAUAUAUUCUAACAAUUGGCAUCAAGAGUUUGGUACUUGAAAAAUAUUCAAGUUUGAUCCUAAAAUCUUUUUUCUAUGGUUGAAAAACUACCUUUUGAGGAGGGUGCUUCAAUUAACAAACCACCUUUGUUUUGCGGUUUGAAUUAUAAGUAUUGGAAAGCUAGAAUGAAAAUCUUUGUUGAAUCUAUUGAUCAAGGAAUUUGGGAUGCAAUUGAAAAUGGCCCUUUCAUUCCUAAAAUUGAAAAGGAUGGAUCUUUUACUAAAACACCUUGGUCCCAAUGGACUGAUGAACAAAGUGAAAAGGGGGAUUGCAUUGCCAAGAAUAUCAUAACAUCUGCUGUGAACUCUAAUGAUUUUUUUCAGGAUUUCGCAAUGUGAAUCAGCUAAAGAAAUGUGGGACACUUUAGAAGUCAUUCAUGAAGGGACAAAUGAGAAUGAAGAGAAAUUGUUUAGCCUGCUGUUUAAGAAACUCAGAAAGUUCUUAAAGAAAAGAAUCAGCAAAAGGGACUCAUCCAAAAGGUAUGAUAACAAAAACUCUACCAAGGUUAAAACUAACAAUUAUGCAUACCUUGAAUGUGGUGAGCAGGGACAUACUAAAGCUAAAUGUCUAAACAAAGAAAAGAAGAACUUCAAGAAACAUGAGAAGAAAGGAAAAUCAAGAAAAUUAUAGUCAAUUCCUUCAAGAGACCCUAAACCCUAAACCCUUCAAGCACCUCUUCAAGUAAAGUUGAAAAAGCCAAUCUCUGUUUGAUGGCUAAAAAGGAAGAUGAUUCAAGCAGUGUAAGUUCUUGUGCCUCCUUAAAUGCUGAAAAUUAUAGUCAAUUCCUUCAAGAGAGAAACUCAUGAAGAUGCUAAUCGAUUGGCUAUCUUGAACAACCAUUUGAAAGGAAUGAACAACUGGCUUGAAAACAGAGUCAAGGCAUUGGAAGAAGAAUUGGAAAAUUCAAAAACAGAUUUUGAAAAUCUUUAAAUGCUUUACAAAAACUCUUCUUGCAAGUGCGACUCUCUUGUUUGUGAAAAUUGUGAAUCUCUUGAAAAAAGGUUCACUACCUUGUAAAAAUUGUGGAUAAGCUUUCAAAAGGUAAAUCAAACUUUGAGAGUGUCUUGGCAUUUCAAAAUAGUGUUUUUGGAAAAUUUGGAUUGGGUUUUAAUCCACGAAACAAGUUUUCAAACUCCUUUUCAAAAGUGCCAGAAAAACAACCGAUUGAAAAAUCGAAACAAUCGGUUGUUACAUGUUUUUACUGCAUGAAAAUAGGACACUCACUUAGGUUCUGUAAAAUUAGGAAAUAUUAUGUUCCUAAAGGCAUUAUGAGAUGGAUUCCCAAAAAUUCUGAAGUUCCCAGUGAUGAAUGUAAAUGAAGAGGACCCACAUUUGUAAGGGGACCAAAUCUUUGCACUUGAACUUGCCUUUUGUAGGGAAAAUUGAUGGAAAACAAGCAUCUGUGGUACCUGGAUAGUGGUUGUUCAAAACACAUAACUGGAGAUAAAUCUAAAUUUGUGAACAUCAUCUUCAAACAAGAAGGGCAUGUGACAUAUGGAGACAAAAACAAAGGAAGGAUUCUUGGAAGAGGCUUUAUAGGAGACAAGAGUAUCUUGCUAAUUCAUGAUGUCUUGUAUGUGGAAGGACUAAAGCACAACCUGCUUAGCAUUAGCCAACUGUGUGACAAAGGUUAUCAAGUCAUCUUCAAGCCAAACUCUUGUGAAAUUUGUCUUCCCAAUUUAAAGGAGGUAAUGUUGAUUGGUAAAAGAAUAAACAAUGUCUAUCUCUUAGAUAUCUCUUCUCCUUGUUCCAUUGAUUGUCUUCUUUCUAAACAUGGUGAAUCUUGGUUAUGGCAUAGAAGAAUAGCUCACAUUCACAUGAAUCACUUAAACAAAUUGAUUUCAAAAGAACUUGUGAUAGGGUUGCCCAAACUUAAGUUUGAGAAGGACCACAUAUGUGAAGCAUGCCAAAAAGGGAAACAAGUUAAAAAUUCUUUCAAACUUAAAAAGGUUGUUUCAUCUUCCCCUUGAGCUGCUUCACAUGAAUUUGUUUGGCCCUUCAAGAACCAUGAGUCUUGGUGGCAACUAUUAUGCUCUUGUUAUUGUGGAUGAUUUUUCUAGGUACACAUGGACACUCUUAUCGGAAUCAAAGAGUGAAGCUUUCUCUGCCUUCAAAAAGCUUACUAGAAGUUUACAGAACACAAGAAACAGCAGCAUUGGUUCAAUAAUAAGUGAUCAUGGAGGGGAAUUUCAAAAUGAGAAAUUCAGCAAAUUCUGUGAGAAGACGGGGAUCUAGCACAAUUUUUCUGCACCAAGAACUCCUCAACGGAAUGGAGUAGUGGAGAGAAAUAACAGAUCUCUUGAGGAGUUAGCAAGAACCAUGCUAAGUGAAUCCUCCCUACCCAAGUAUUUUUGGGCUGAUGCUGUUAGCACUUCUUGCUAUGUCAUGAAUAGAGUGCUAAUAAGGUCAAUUUUGAAGAAAACACCCUAUGAACUUUUCAAUGGAAGGAAGUCAAACAUUAGUAACCUAAAAGUGUUUGGAUGCAGCUGUUUUGUUCUAAAUAAUGGGAAAGAAAUUCUGGGAAAGUUUGAUGAAAAAGCGAACAAUGGCAUUUUCAUUGGCUAUUCCUCUAAUAGUCAUGCUUAUAGAGUCUACAACAAAAGGUUCAUGAUUAUAGAAGAAUCUGUUCAUGCGAUGUUUGAUGAAGUUGAUCACAAAGUCUUAAAACCCUUAAAGAAAAGCACUGAAGAGGAUGAAUAAAACAUCAUUAUGCAUAAGCUGGAUUGUUGUCCAGAAAAACAACCGAUUGAUUCAUCAAAAUAACCGGUUGAAAUUUUGCAGCAGGAUGAGUUGCCUAAAGAAUGGAGAAUUUCAAGAGAUAUGUUAGUGGAGAACAUCAUUGGGCAGAUAAAGGAGGGUGUUUCUACACGUAGUUCUAUCUCAAACUUCUGCAGACACACUGCUUUUGUCUCUCAAGUUGAACCAAAGUCAAUUAAAGAAGCUCUUAAAGAUGAAAAAUGCGUGGAUGCAAUGCAUGGAGAGUUGAAUCAGUUUGCUGGGAAUGAUGUGUGGUUUCUUGUUCCCAAGACAGAUGAGAUGAACAUCAUUGGAUCUAAAUGGGUCUUCAGGAAUAAGUUAGAUGAGGCUGGUGUGAUUAUUAUAAACUGUUAGAAUAUAUGGCCUUAAACGAGAGGGGGGUGAAUUGUUUAAGAGGGGUUUUUGAAAACUUUUUUAGCUUGAACAAAAUCCUCUGUGUGAAUCCUUAUCAGAAUUUCAGUUAGCCAAGAAUUUAAGCACAAAACAGCAAAGCACCAGAAAAACAAUCGGUUGUUUCUGGGAAACAAUCGGUGUUUAUACCAGUAAAGUAAUAACAACUGCAUUUAAAUGAGUUUAAGGGCAAAAAGAGAUACACCAACGGUUUAUACUGGUUCACUAUUAAACCAAGAGCUACAUCCAGUCCCCAGAAGCCACUGGGUAAUCCACAAAGCAAUCAAAACAGAUUACACACAAACCACCAAAGUAGUGACCUUGAACCCUUCAAGAAACACACUCACUUUGACACAAAACACACCAAGAAUGUUGAUCUUGACCACCUCAAGAACACACAACACUCCUUGGCAAUAACACCAAAAUUACAGAAGAUUCAAAAAGAAUUACACUUAUUUACAGAAUAAUCUGAAAUCAAUACAGAUGCAAUCUUAUUCCACUCUUUCUUGAGAAAACCCAAAGCUUGAUGUGAAUGUUCAAAACUUGAAAGCAAUCUUUCUCACAACUGAAAAACUCAAAUCUGUUUCACUUAUUUGUUUUAAAACAUAAACAAACUUUUUAUACUUUUCAAAUAUUGGUCAAAGCAUUUAAUGAAGGAGCGUAUUCAGUUGGAAAUCAUUUAAAGCACAUUCAACCACCAAAAUAGAAUUUUGUUAGGAUUUUCAAAGAAACAAUCGAUUGAAACCACGAAACAAUUGAAUGUUUUGGUUUGACAGUAAGUCAACCAACCAAAACAGUUUUCAACCUUUUCAAAAACACCUAAGAGUAAAACAAUCGGUUGUUUCGACAAAACAUGUUGUUUUUCACUUGAGCUUUAGAUUCAAAAAGGUUUUAAAACACAUUAGCUUUAGAUUCAACAACGAGUGGAUUACAAUUUUAAGCUACCCAGAUCCUACCCCAAACACAACAGCAACUCCAGCCUGGCAUCAAACACUUGGAUUUGGAUACUUCAAAGCACUUGAUCACUCUUGAUCAACAAUCUCCCCCUAUUUGAUGAAGACAAAUCCCUGGUUGCUUGUGUUGGACUUUGUUUGAAUCUGAAGCAGUACCUGCAAAACAAAACUUAUGCAAUACAAGACAUCUAUAACAACAGGUUAGGAUAACAUAUUUACUAAACGCUAUAUUAGACAAACAACCGGUUGUUUCCUUGAUUUAAUCGGUUGUUUUUGUCAGCAGAAGCAGAAAAACAGUUCCAAUUUCAGAAAUUAGAGAGAUUUAACAGUUUGAAACAUUUUAUAAAGAGCAGGCAACACAAAACCCAACCAAUUCUCCCCCUAUUUGUCUUCACAAAUAGACUUUAAGUAUAAAAAACAAUUUAAGAGAGAUUUUGAGAGUCAAGAAUGCCUAAUUCAUUUCUUAAGAAGUGAUGAUGAAUCUCAAUGUGCUUAGUUCUUGAGUGCUGAAUCUGAUUUUUGGUGAGAUUUAUAGCACUUAUGUUGUCACAAAGCAAAGGAACCUUGCUGAUCAUCAAUCCAAAAUCUGCAAGUUGCUGUUUAAGCCAAAGUAUUUGUGCACAGUAGCUCCCAGCAACAAAGUAUUCAGCCUUUGCAGUAGAAAGAGCUACACAAGCUUGCUUCUUACUAUGCCAAGAAAUGAGACUUGAUCCAAGAAGAUAACAAGUGCCACUUGUGCUUUUUCUGUCCAGCUUACACCCUGCAAAAUCAGAAUCUGAAUAACCAAUUAAGUGUAUAGGAGAGUGAGAAGGAUACCAUUGACCAACAUUGGUUGUUCCUUUGAGAUAUUUAAGAAUUCUCUUUCCAGCUUUGAAGUGAGAUUCCUUUGGAUUUGCUUAAUAUCUUGCACAAAGACAUACGGCAAACAUGAUAUCCGGUCUACUUGCUAUGAGAUUGAGUAUGGAACCAAUUAAACCUCUGUAUUUUGUUUGAUCUACCCUUUUUCCAGCAACAUCUACAUCCAUAUAACAACUUGAAGGCAUAGGUGUGCUAGCUUCCUUGCAACUUUCCAUUUCAAAUUUCUUGAGAAUUUCUUUGCAAUAUUUUGAUUGGCAUAGAAAAACUCCAUCCUUUGUUUGCUUGACCUGCAAUCCAAGAAAGAAAGAAAGCUCCCCCAUCAUAGACAUCUCAAACUCACCUUGCAUAGCAGCCACAAAUUCUUCACACAAACUAUCUUUGGUAGCACCAAAAAUGAUGUCCUCAACAUAAAUUUGAACCAAGAUAAUUUCAGAAUUUGACUUCUUGAUGAAAAGAGUUUUGUCAAUCAUUCAUCUUUCAUAACCAUGAGAUAAAAGGAAGUUGCUAAGCCUCUCAUACCACUGCCUUGGAGCUUGCUUAAGCCCAUACAAAGCCUUUUUCAACAUAAAAACAUGAUUGGGAUGUUGAUGAUCCUCAAAACCUGGUGGUUGCUCAACAUACACUUCUUCAUUGAUAAAGCCAUUAAGAAAAGCACUCUUCACAUCCAUUUGAAAGAGUUUGAAUCCACUCAUACAAGCAAAAGCCAAUAACAACCUCACAGCUUCCAAUCUUGCAACAGGAGCAAAUGAUUCACCAUAGUCAAUUCCUUCCUCUUCAUUGUAGCCUUUGGGAACUAGCCUUGCCUUGUUUCUAGUAAUUACUCCAGCUUCAUCUAGCUUGUUUCUGAAAACCCAUUUAGAUCCAAUGAUGUUCAUCUCAUCUGUCUUAGGAACCAGAAACCACACAUCAUUCCUAGCAAACAGAUUCAGCUCUUCAUGCAUAGCCUCCACCCAUUUUUCAUCUUUAAGAGCUUCUUCAAUAGACUUUGGUUCCACUUGAGAGACAAAAGCAGUGUGCCUGCAGAAGUUUGAGAUAGAGCUACGUGUAGAAACACCCUCCUUUAUCUGCCCAAUGAUAUUCUCCACUGAGACAUCUCUUGGUAUUCUCCACUCUUUAAGCAACUCACUCUGCUACAGAAUUUCAAUCGGUUGUUUUUCUGGACAGCAGUCCAGCUUCUGCAAAAUGAUGUUCUGCUCAUCCUCUUCUGGGUUGUUCUUUGAGGAUUGAAUAUUUUUGUGAUCAACUUCAUCAAACACCACAUGAACAGAUUCUUCUACAAUCAUGAGCCUCUUGUUGUAGACCUUAUAGGCGUGACUAUUUAAGGAAUAGCCAAUAAAGAUGUCAUGGUCAACUUUUUCAUCAAACUUUCCCAAAUUUUCUUUCCCAUUAUUCAGAACAAAACAGCUGCAUCCAAACACUUUUAGGUGACUAAUGUUUGGCUUCCUUCCAUUGAAGAGUUCAUAGGGAGUUUUCUUCAAGAUUAGCCUUAUUAGUACUUUAUUCAUCACAUAGCAAGAAGUGCUAACAGCAUCAACCCAAAAAUACUUGGGUAGGGAGGAUUCACUUAGCAUGGUUCUUGCUAACUCUUCAAGAGAUCUGUUCUUUCUUUCCACUACACCAUUCUGUUGAGGAGUUCUUGGUGCUGAGAAGUUGUGCAAGAUCCCUAUCUUCUCACAGAAUUUGCUGAAUUUCUCAUUUUGAAAUUCCCCUCCAUGAUCACUCCUUAUAAAACCAAUGUUGUUGUUUUUUGUGUUUUGUAACCUUCUAACAAGCUUUUUGAAGGCAGACAAGGCAUCACUCUUUGAUUCCAAGAAGAGUGUCCUUGUUUACCUAGAGAAAUCAUCCACAAUAACAAGAGCAUAAUAGUUGCCACCAAGACUCAUGGUUCUUGAAGGUCCAAAUAAAUCCAUGUGGAACAACUCAAGGGGUUUUAGAGAUGAAACAACAUUUUUAAUUUUGAAGGAAUUUUUAACUUGUUUCCCCUUUUGACAUGCUUCACAUAUAUGGUCCUUCUCAAACUUAAGCUUGGGCAACCCAAUCUCAAGAUAUUUUGAGAUUAAUUUGUUUAAGUGAUUCAUGUGAAUGUGAGCAAUUCUUCUAUGCCAUAACCAAUAUUCAUCAUGCUUAGAAAGAAGAUUACCAAUAGAACAAGGAGAUGAAAUAUCCAAGAGAUAGACAUUGUUGAUUCUCUUACCAAUCAACAUUACCUCUUUUGAGUUAGGAAGGCAGAUAUCACAAGAGUUUUUCUUGAAGAUUACUUGAUAGCCUUUGUCACACAGUUGGCUAAUGCUAAGCAAGUUGUGUUUUAGUCCCUCUACAUACAAGACAUCAUGAAUAAGCAAGAUACUCUUGUAUCCUAUAAAGCCUCUUCCAAGAAUUCUUCCUUUGUUGUUGUCUCCAAAUGUUACAUGGCCUUCUUGUUUGAUGAUGAUGCUCACAAACUUAGAUUUAUCUCCUGUCAUGUGUUUUGAGCAACCACUGUCCAGAUACCACUGCUGCAUGCUUUCCAUCAAUUUUCCUACAAAGGAAAUUUUCAAGUACAAAGAUUUGGUCCCCUUAUAAAUGUGGGUCCUUUUGAUUUACAUUCAUCACUAGGAACUCCAGAAUCUUUAGGAAUCCAUCUCAUAAUGCCUUUAGGAACAGAAUUUUUCCUAAUUUUACAGAAUCUGACAGAAUGACCUCUUUUCAUGCAGUAGAAGCAUGUAACAAUCGGUUGUUUCGACAAAACAAUCGGUUGUUUUUCUGGCAGUUUUGAAAAUGACUUUGAAAACUUGUCUUGCUUGUUCUGUGGAUUAAAACCUAAUCCAGCUUUUCCAAAAACACAAUUUUGAGAUGCCAAGACAUUCUCAAAGUUGGAUUUACCCUUUGAAAGCUUAUCCACAGUUCUUACAAGAUAAUGAACUUUCUUUUGAGGAUUUUCACAAUUUUCGCAUACAAGAGAGUCACACUUGCAAGAAGAGUUUUUGUAAAGAAUUUCAAGGUUUUCAAAAUCAGUUUUGGAAUUUUCCAACUCUCUUUCAAGUGCUUUAACUCUAUUUUCAAGCCAGUUAUUUAAUCCUUUCAAACGUUUGUUUAAGAGAGCCAAUCAGUUAGCUUCUUCAUGAGUUUCUUGAAAAGCUUGAAGCAAUUUAUUGUAAUUUUCAGCAUUUGAAAAAGUAGAAGAACUUACCCUGCUUGCAUCAUCUUCCAUUUUGGCCAUGAAACAUAGAUUCAUACCUUUUUUAUUUUGCCUCCUUUUUCUUCUUGCUUGACUUCUUGUCUUUGCUUUCUUUAUUUCAGUGAUACUCUCAUGAGUUGCUUUAAGUGUAUCCCACAACUCCUAAGCAGAUUCACAUUCUGAGAUCCUGAAAUAUUCUUUAGCAUCCAAAGCAGAAGUUAUUAUAUUCUUGGCAAUGCAAUCAAACUUGGCCUUCUCACAUUCUUCAUUAGUCCAUUGGGACCAAGGAUUUUUAAUAAAAGAUCCACUCUUUUUAAUCUUAGGAAUGAAAGGGCCAUUUUCAAUUGCAUCCCAAAUUCCUUCAUCAAUGGAUUCAACAAAGAUUUUUAUUCUAGCUUCCCAAUACUUAUAAUUGAAACCACAAAACAAAGGUGGUUUGUUAAUUGAAGCACCCUCCUCAAAAGGUAGUUUUCCAGCCAUAAAAAAAGUUUUAGGAUCACACUUGAGUAUUUUCAAGUACCAAGCUCUUGAUGCCAAUUGUUAGAAUAUAUGGCCUUAAACGAGAGGGGGGUGAAUUUUUUAAGAGGGGUUUUUGAAAACUUUUUCAACUUGAACAAAAUCCUUUGUGUGAAUCCAGAUCAGAAUUUCAGUUAGCCGAGAAUUUAAGCACAAAACAGCAAAGCACCAAAAAAACAAUCGGUUGUUUCUGCGAAACAAUCGGUUGUUUAUACCAAUAAAGCAAUAACAAUUGAAUUUAAAUGAGUUUAAGGGAAGAAAGAGAUACACCAACAGUUUAUACUGGUUCACUCUUAAACCAAGAGCUACAUCCAGUCCCCAGAAGCCACUGGGUAAUCCACAAAGCAAUCAAAACAGAUUACACACAAACCACCAAAGUAGUGACCUUGAACCCUUCAAGAAACACACUCACUUUGGCACAAAACACACCAAGAAUGUUGAUCUUGACCACCUCAAGAACACACAACACUCCUUGAUCACAAAGUCUUAAAACCCUUAAAGAAAAGCACUGAAGAGGAUGAAUAAAACAUCAUUAUGCAGAAGCUGGAUUGUUGUCCAGAAAAACAAUCGAUUGAUUCAUCGAAAUAACCGGUUGAAAUUUUGCAGCACGAUGAGUUGUCUAAAGAAUGGAGAAUUUCAAGAGAUAUGUCAGUGGAGAACAUCAUUGGGCAGAUAAAGGAGGGUGUUUCUACAAGUAGUUCUAUCUCAAACUUCUGCAGACACACUGCUUUUGUCUCUCAAGUUGAACCAAAGUUAAUUAAAGAAGCUCUUAAAGAUGAAAAAUGGGUGGAUGCAAUGUAUGGAGAGCUGAAUCAGUUUGCUGGGAAUGAUGUGUGGUUUCUUGUUCCCAAGACAGAUGAGAUGAACAUCAUUGGAUCUAAAUAGGUUUUCAGGAAUAAGUUAGAUGAGGCUGGUGUGAUUACUAUAAACUGUAAGAAUAUAUGGCCUUAAACGAGAGGGGGGUGAAUUGUUUAAGAGGGGUUUUUGAAAACUUUUUUAGCUUGAACAAAAUCCUUUGUGUGAAUCCUUAUCAAAAUUUCAGUUAGCCAAGAAUUUAAGCACAAAACAGCAAAGCACCAGUAAAACAAUCGGUUGUUUUUGGGAAACAAUCGGUUGUUUAUACCAGUAAAGCAAUAACAACUGCAUUUAAAUGAGUUUAAGGGAAGAAAGAGAUACACCAACAGUUUAUACUAGUUCACUCUUAAACCAAGAGCUACAUCCAGUCCCCAGAAGCCACUGGGUAAUCCACAAAGCAAUCAAAACAGAUUACACACAAGCCACCAAAGUAGUGACCUUGAACCCUUCAAGAAACACACUCACUUUGGCACAAAACACACCAAGAAUGUUGAUCUUGACCACCUCAAGAACACACAACACUCCUUGUCAAUAACACCAAAAUUACAGAAGAUUCAAAAAGAAUUACACUUGUUUACAGAAUAAUCUGAAAUCAAUACAGAUGCAAUCUUAUUUCACUCUUUCUUGAGAAAACCCAAAUCUUGAUGUGAAUGUGCAAACCUUGAAAGGAAUCUUUCUCACAACUGAAAAACUCAAAUCUGUUUCACUUAUUUGUUUUAAAACAUAAACAAACUUUUUUAUACUUUUCAAAUAUUGGUCAAAGCAUUUAAUGAAGAAGCGUAUUCAGUUGGAAAUCAUUUAAAGCACAUUCAACCACCAAAAUAGAAUUUUGUUAGGAUUUUCAAAGAAACAAUCGAUUGAAACCACGAAAUAAUCGAUUGUUUUGGUUUGACAGCAAGUCAACAUGUUGUUUUUCACUUAGUUUGAAAAACACUUGAAAUUCAAAAAUGUUUUAAAACGCAUUAGCUUUAGAUUCAACAAAUAAUGGAUUACACUUUUAAACUACCAAGGUCGUACCCCAAACACAACAGCAACUCCAGCCUUGCAUCAAACACUUGUAUUUGGAUUCUUCAAAACACUUGAUCACUCUUGAUCAACAGAAACAAGGCCAGGCUAGUUGCCAAAGGUUAUAAUCAAGAAGAAGGAAUUGAUUAUGGUGAAACCUUUGCUCCUGUUGCAAGAUUAGAAGUUGUAAGGCUGCUGCUGGCUUUUGCUUGUAUGAGUAGAUUCAAACUACUUCAAAUGGACGUGAGGAGUGCUUUUCUCAAUGGAAUUAUCAAUGAAGAAGUUUAUGUUGAGCAACCACCGGGCUUUGAAGAUCAUCAACAUCCCAAUCAUGUUUUUAAGCUGAAAAAGGCAUUGUAUGGGCUUAAGCAAGCUCCAAGGCAGUGGUAUGAGAGGCUUAGUAACUUUCUUUUAUCUCAUGGCUAUGAGAGAGGGAUGAUUGACAAAAACUCUUUUCAUCAAGAAAGCAAAUUCUGAAAUUAUUUUGGUCCAAAUCUAUGUUGAUGACAUCAUUUUUUGUGCUACCAAAGAUAGUUUAUGUGAGGAGUUUGUAGCUACCAUGCAAGGUGAGUUUGAAAUGUCCAUGAUGGGAGAGCUUUCAUUCUUUCUUGGACUGCAGGUUAAGCAAUCAAAGGAUGGAAUUUUCCUACGCCAAUCAAAGUAUUGCAAAGAAAUCCUCAAGAAAUUUGAGAUGGAAAGUUGGAAAGAAGCUAGCACACCUAUGCCUUCAAGUUGCUACAUGGAUGCAGAUGUUACUGGAAAAGGGGUAGAUCAAACAAAAUAUAGAGAUUUAAUUGGUUCUUUACUCUAUCUCACAAUAAGUAGACCGGAUAUCAUGUUAGUCGUGUGUCUUUGUGCAAGGUGUUAAGCAAAUCCAAAGGAAUCUCACCUCAAGGAUGCAAAACGAAUCUUCAAAUAUCUCAAAGGAACAACAAAUGUUGGUCUAUGGUAUCCUUCUUACUCUCCUAUACACUUAAUUUGAUAUUCAGAUUUUGGUUUUGCAGGGUGUAAGCUGGACCGAAAAAGCACAAGUGGCACUUGUCAUCUUCUUGGAUCAAGUCUCAUUUCUUGACAUAGUAAGAAACAAGCUUGUGUAGCUCUUUCUACUGCAGAAAACUAAUUGAUGUAUGAUCAUAACCUGCUAUAAGAGAUGCUCUUGAUUGCAUAGCUUUUUGUUUUGCAGGUGCUGUUUCUGAUUCAAUCAAGAUCAACACAAGGAAUGUGAUUCACUCCUUUGUUGAAUCUAAAACUGAUGUGAUUUAAAACAUUUUUUAAAUCAAGUGUUUUUCCAACUAAGUUAAAAACAACCUGUUGUUUUUUCGAAUCAACCGGUUGUUUUACUUUUAGGAGUUUUGAAAAGGUUGAAAACUGUUUUAGUUUGGUUGACUUAACUAUCAAGCCAAACAAUUUGUUGUUUCGUGGUUUCAACUGAUUGUUUCUUUGAAAAUCCUAAUAGAAUUUAGUUUUGAAUGUUCAAUCUGGUUUUAAUUUUUUUCAAAUGAAUACACUCCUUCAUUAAUUGGUUUGACCAAUCUUUGGAAAAUAUAAAUGGCUUGUUUAUGUUUUCAAACAAAAAGAAGAGAAACAAUUUUGAGUUUUUCAGUUGUGAAAAGAUUGAUUAUAAGAUUUGAACAUUCACAUCAAGCUUUGGGUUUUCAAAAGAGAGUGGAAUAGGAUUGCAAUUGUAUUGAUUUCAGUUUGUAUUGUGAACAAGUGUAAUCUUUUCUAAACCUACUGUAUUUCUGGUGUUGUGUUGCUAAGGAGUGUUGUGUGUUCUUGAGGUGGUCAAGAUCAAUACUCUUGGUGUGUUUUGCCAAAGGUAGUGUGUUUCUUGAAGGGUUCAAGGUCACUACUUUGGUGGUUUGUGUUUUGUAAUCUGGUUUGAUUGCUUAGUGGAUUACCCAGUGGUGUUUUGGGGACUGGAUGUAGCUCUUAGCUUAAGAGUGAACCAGUAUAAACUGUUGGUGUAUCUCUCUCUCUUACUUUGAACUUAUUUAAAUUAUGUUUUAAGCUUUGCUGAUAUAAACAACCGAUUGUUUUUCUGUUCUUUGUUGUUUUAUUGCUUAAAUUGUUGGCAAACUUGAUUCCUGUUCUGGAUUCACAAAAAGAAUUUUGUUAAACCUGAAAAAGUUUUCAAAAUCCUCUCUUAAACAAUUCACCCCCCCCCCUCUCGUUUAAGGCCAUAUAUUCUAACACGUAUUUCCAGUGGAUUUUGUUAUCUUGGACAUGAAAGAAGACGAGGAGGUCCCUUUGAUUCUCGGUAGACCUUUUAUGAAGACCGCCAAAGUCAUAGUGGAUGUGGAUAAAGGAGAACUUAAAGUAAGGUCUCAGGAGGACGAGAUAAGAUUUAAUCAUUUUGAUGAUGUGACUAACUGUAUUGCAAAUAAGGAUGGGAGACAAGAGGAAAUUUCAAAAGACGGUGAACAAAUGGAGGGUUCAAAGCCAAAGGAGAAAGUUAUACCUCGGAAAAAAUUAAAUAUAAAAGAAGACCAAGAUAAUCAAGGGAAGUUAGUGGAGGAAGAUUAAUAUCGACUAGGACAACAUAUCAUGCUCAACAUAGGGAGGGGGAAAAGAAUAAAGAAGACUAAGAAAUUGUGGGUCAUUAAGGAAUUAAAGCUGGAUGGAACAAUUGAAGUGGAAAAGCCAUAUUCAAGGAAAACGAAAGUGAUAACAAGAACACUGGCCAAACAGAAUAAUUAUCCCCCUUGAUAAAAACUUUUGUCAAGCUAUAUGACGUUAAAUAAAGUGCUUAUUGGGAGACCAUCCCACAUUUUAGUUUUAUGUUGUUUUGUUAUCUUUGUUUUGAUUUUACCUUUUAAAAAUCAUGUUGUCAUCCAAGGAUUCUAGCCCAAGCGAGUGAAAUCUUGCCAAGACGAGUACGAUGGCGAAAAGUAGGGUGCUCUUGGGAGUUAUCUCGCUCAAUUGAAUUUUUUUUUGCAAAAAAUAAAAAUAAAAAAAAUAAUAAUUAUUUUUUAUAUGCCUCUUAAUCAUUUUUGCAGUUUAUAUAGCUUGACCUGGGGACAAGUUCUAUUAUUCAAGGGCCAAAUCCAACAAAUGAAGAAAGACUAUAGAUGAAGAUUUUAACAAAUAGCUUGAUGACUUCUUAGGAAGAGAGGAUUGAGCAAAAGUAUGGUUUUAUCUCUCUAAAUAUCUUUCCUUUUCAGUUAUUUGAAUUUUGUUUUAUUUUUUCUGUUGACUUUUAAUUUAUUUUUCGGUUAUUUUUUUUUCUAUUUAUUUGUUGUUUUUUCUAUUUUGUUAGUUUUAUGUUUUGAAUUAUUUUUCUUGAAUAAAUUUCAGUUUUAUUUUGUUUUGUUUUCUAGUUUUAUUUUUCUCAAAUAUAAAAAGAACUAGAAUAUUAAUUUUGAAUUGGGGAAUAAAGGAAUUUGUGUUUAAAUAUUAAAUAGUAAGAUGAAUUAGACAUAGGUUAAAAAAGAAAAUUUGAUUGAAUCCCUAUUCAAAUGUAGAUGAAAUUGUGCUACGUGAAAAUUUAACAGGAUGAUUGAUUAGGAUAGAGAAUGACAAAACAAAUAGGAAUGAGGCCAAUUAAACCAAGUGAGUGUGUGAACUUUAAACGGUUUUGAGAGUUUUACUUAUGAAUUGACAAUUGUGGUUGCUUAAUUUUUAUUUUUUGUUACAUCAUAAACGAGCAUGAUGAUAAUCGAGGCAUUUGUUUUGUGUUAAUUAGGAACCCAAGGCCAAAUAGCCAACCUUAAUUUUAUUAGAAUUCAAUUUUUUUUUAUAUAUUCCCUUUGGACCAAGAAUUGUUGUUAUUAUUGCACCAUAACUUUUUAUGAUAUAAAUGUAAUACAUAUAGAAAAGAGAAUGGUUGGUUCUGAUUGUUGAAAUCUCAAAAAGUUGAAAAUAGGAAGAAUCUAAUCCUAUUGAAAAAAAAAGAAAAAAUUCAUCAUGAAAAUCAUGAAAAGAUAGAAAUAAAAUAAGGAAAAAUGUGAACUCAAAAGAAAAUGGUGAUUAGAUAAUAUAUAUGUUCUCUAUAAUUGGAUUUUAGGCAUAUUCUUCUUCUUAAAGAUGUGCAUUUUUUUAUCUGAAAAAACCAAUAUUUUUUGGAAGCCCAACGUCAUUACAACCAUGGAAAAGACAUCUGGAUUUAUAUUUCUAAUAUGUUUGUGAUUUGAAGAUGAAAUGAAAAGCAUCUGUGAUUUGUUAUGAUUCAGUGAAAAUAGAGAUAAACACUUACCUGUGAGUAUAUGAGAAGAUAUUCCUUGAUGAAUUGUCAUUUAUUUAUGUUGAUUUGAUCCUAGAAGUUGAUUGUGUUUAUAUUUUAUAUAUUUGAAUUUGGAAGCAUCAUAAGUUUCUAAUUUGAUAUGUUGUUUAUUGAAUUAAGUUGUUUGCUAUUUAAAUUCAAAUAUAUUCACUUACUUUGUUUGAGGACAAGCAAGAUUCUAAGUUGGGGAGAGUGAUAAGUGCCUAAUUUCCGUAUUAUUUUAUAUUAAAAUAUAGGCACUUAUGAGUAUUAAUUGCUAAUUUACAUAUAAAAUAAUCCAUAAUUUAUGAAUUUAUACCUUUUUUACAUUUUUUAUGAUCUUUAGUUGAAUAAGUGCAUUUUAUUCGCAGAUUUGGUGUUAAUUGUAGGUUUCUAGGAAGAAUGGAGAUUUAGACUAAAGAAGAAUGAUAUAUGCAAAAAGGAGAAAGCUGGAAGGCUUAUAACACACAAAAGAGAGAAAAAAAGUCCAAGUUAGCAACGAGAAUGCGUCAGAUUAGUUGGGCUAAUUUUAUGUUUUUAUGAACAAGCCCAAAGAGCAACGCAAGAAGUCAUCUAAACCUAGAAAAUUAGGUUAAAUAUGGGGCUAUAGGCACAACCCUACUGUGCCAGAUUGAGAGAAAAACACCAUUGAGUGAAUUGUAACCAAUUGGGAGAAUGCAAGAUGCUAAAAGUAUGUGUGGCUAAUUCUAUCCUUUAGGAUUGGGAGUAUCUGUUUCAACCCUUAUGUAUUGAGGUAACAUUUAAUUAUAAUAUAAUAUUCUGUUUUUGAUUGAUUAUUGGUAUUGUUGUUUUUCUUUUAAAUAUUUGUGACAUGUUUGAGGGUCUUAAAUCUGACUGGGAAGUAUUUUUACGGUUCUGACCUAACAAUAAUACUUAACAUAUUUGAGUGUUAGGAAUAGACUUGAAAUGUUAAUUCUUAUUAGUGUUUGAGCUUGGUUCUAAGUUGUUCUUAUAAUUAUGCGAGGGAUUGAUAUUUUGAGAACAUUUUUAAAAAAAUUAUAUGCGAGGAAACGAUAUAAAUGACUUUUAUACAGGCAUCAAUUUCAACCAGAGAACAUAAUGUUAACAUGCUAAUCAAAAUACAUAAGAGUGAGAUAGAUGAAACCUAAUCCCUAUUUUUCCAACUUGAAGCUGUUGAAGCUGGAGGAAGCUUCUUCCCUACCAAGGCUUGAUGUGUGUUUGAUGAAGAAAAUGGCUUAAGUGCUUUGAAGAUUGUAAUAGGUUUUUAGAUUCAUUUGUAAUUAGGCUUGUAAUUGUGUAUGAUUGCCUUUUGCUAUGUGACCUAUCCUAGAUGCCUAACCAAGUCUAGAUCAAGCACAUGAUGUGGUUAAAUGGUUUUUGAAAAGCUUUUUAAAAUGUUUUUAACAGUUUUAAAUCAGUACAAAAAUAAAUCUGUUUUAUGGAGAAAGAAUCUGUUUAUUUCUUCUCUGUUAAAAGGCUUUUCUAAAAGUUCUGUUUGAGACCACAUGCAAAGCUUAGUUCGUUAUUUCAGUUAAAGCUGAGCUGGCCUAUUUGCCUUCAUUUAAUCUGUUUCACUGNNNNNNNNNNNNNNNNNNNNNNNNNNNNNNNNNNNNNNNNNNNNNNNNNNNNNNNNNNNNNNNNNNNNNNNNNNNNNNNNNNNNNNNNNNNNNNNNNNNNNNNNNNNNNNNNNNNNNNNNNNNNNNNNNNNNNNNNNNNNNNNNNNNNNNNNNNNNNNNNNNNNNNNNNNNNNNNNNNNNNNNNNNNNNNNNNNNNNNNNNNNNNNNNNNNNNNNNNNNNNNNNNNNNNNNNNNNNNNNNNNNNNNNNNNNNNNNNNNNNNNNNNNNNNNNNNNNNNNNNNNNNNNNNNNNNNNNNNNNNNNNNNNNNNNNNNNNNNNNNNNNNNNNNNNNNNNNNNNNNNNNNNNNNNNNNNNNNNNNNNNNNNNNNNNNNNNNNNNNNNNNNNNNNNNNNNNNNNNNNNNNNNNNNNNNNNNNNNNNNNNNNNNNNNNNNNNNNNNNNNNNNNNNNNNNNNNNNNNNNNNNNNNNNNNNNNNNNNNNNNNNNNNNNNNNNNNNNNNNNNNNNNNNNNNNNNNNNNNNNNNNNNNNNNNNNNNNNNNNNNNNNNNNNNNNNNNNNNNNNNNNNNNNNNNNNNNNNNNNNNNNNNNNNNNNNNNNNNNNNNNNNNNNNNNNNNNNNNNNNNNNNNNNNNNNNNNNNNNNNNNNNNNNNNNNNNNNNNNNNNNNNNNNNNNNNNNNNNNNNNNNNNNNNNNNNNNNNNNNNNNNNNNNNNNNNNNNNNNNNNNNNNNNNNNNNNNNNNUCUUUUUAAAUUGAAUCUGUUAAUUCGUGGUUUAAGUGAAACUGUUCUUCCUGAUUUGUUAAAGUUCUCUGAUCAUAAACAAGGCUGCUGUAUAUAAUGGUUUAAGUGAUUUGUGAACAAAUUGUCCAUUCAUUAAAAUCUGAGAAAGGAUCAUUCCUCUUAAAGCCUUGUGUUGAGUAAUUUUGUUUGAUUUCUAAGCAUAGCUGUAUCCUUCAUCCUCACAAUAUUAAGCUGAUCUGAUUCUGUUAUAAUUCUCUGUUGAUCACAAUUUUACAUUGAACAAAUUCAAAUUGUGCCAAGACUGCUCUGAAGAAUCAAUCUGUUUCAUGUAAAAACAAUCUGUUCUUUUUGCCUCUGGAAUACUGAAAAAUUGUGUGUUCUUGCGAAAAUUUUAUAAGCUCAAUUCACCCCUCCCCUCUUGAACUUAGACACUAAUAGACCCAACAGAAGCAACCAAUUCUUUGUCUGUUUUCUUAUUGAUCAUCGCCAACACAACUAUUCUCAACACACUUUUAACUGUUCUAUUUUAUAUUUAGCGAUUAUUAUACUUGAUAAUUCACUAUUCCUUGUUGGAUCGAUAUCCGUCCUUAGGGAAAAAUUAUUACUUCUGACAACCCGGUGCACUUACCGUAGAAAGUCAUCCAGCACUACACUCAUUCUAGGUCUAGCUAAAGAGACAUAAUGUAAAAUAAAGAGCCAAUAAAGGCUAGAAAAAAAAUAAAAAUAAAGGCUAGACAUAUGUCAAAGAGAAACAAAUAAGAAUUAGAAAAGACAAUUAAUAUGAGCUUCCUUCUAGAAGCCUUGUAUCCAUAUACUUUGUUAGCCCCUCGCAAGCUGGGGAACAAAUAUUGAUGAGACUCAACUUGAAACAAAUACUCUUGAAAGAUUAAGGACUUAAGGUUUUGGUAUAAAUGUCAGCCAAUUGCUCUGUGGUAGAAAUGGGAAGCAAAUAUACGAGACCCUUCUUCAUUUUUUCCCUAACAAUGUGACACUCUAUUUUUAUGUGUUUCUUACACUCAUGAAACAUCGGAUUUGAUGCAAUGUAUUUUGCUGAUUCAUUGUCACAUUAUAAAAGAGAUGGUUGCUCAAAAGGAACUUUGAAAUCUUGAAGAAGAUAAGUUAGCCAUUAAAUUUCACAUGUAACAAUGGCCAUUGUCUUGUAUUAAGCUUCACAAGAACCUUUGAUAUUAUUCCUUGCUUCUUUGGUUUCCAGGAUAUGAGGGAAUUCCCAAGAUACACACUAAAAAGUGUCACUGAUUGUCUUGAACCAUUACAGGUGCCCCAAUCACUAUCACAAGAGGCUUUUAAAUGAGCAUAAGUGUUGGAAGAGAAAAAUAAACCAAGACUCAGACCUUCUUUAAUAUAUAUGAGAAUUCUAAUUGUUGCAUUAUAGUGAGAAAUUGUAGGCUUAUGACGAAAUUGAGAAAGUUGUUGCAUAGAAAAGGUUAUGUCAGGUCAGGUAUUAGUGAGGUACAUAAGUCUUCCAAUCAAUCUACUAUAUGCUUGAACAUCUGCGAAAGGAACACUUCUAGUAAAAGAUAAUUUUGUAUGAUAAUCAAUUGGAGUAAGUGCAGGUUUACAAGCUAAAAGACAUGUAUCUGUUAACAAUUCCAGUGCAUAUUUCCUCUGAUUCAUCAUUAUCCCUUUCUUACUUCUUGUUAUUUCAAGACCAAGAAAAUAUCUCAAAUCCCUAAGGUUAUUAAUCUUGAAUGUUUGAUUCAAGGCUUGUUUGAUUUGCUCAAUCUCCUCUUUCUCAUUUCCUGCCAAUAUUAUAUCAUCCACACACACCAAUAAUGUUAUAAAAGAUCCUUUAGAAGAAUUAAUGAACAAGGAAUGAUCAUUCUUAGAUUGCUAAAUCUCACAUAAAGCAAAAAGGAUGACAGUUUGGUAAAUCACUCUCUAUUGACUUGCUUAAGGCCAUAUAAAGCCUUUUUAAAUUUACAAACUUGUCUUGGUUGAAUAGAAGUCAAUCCAGGAGGAGCAACCAUUUUUACAUCUUCUUUCAACUCUCCAUGUAAAAACACAUUGUUUUUUCAAUUCCCAAUUCUAUAUAGAAGCUCAAUAAAGAAGCAACCUUAUGGUAGUCAUCUUUGCUACUCGAGAAAAAAUAUCAAGGUAGUCAAUGCCUUUUGUUUGUGUGUAUCACUUUGCUACUAACCGUGCUUUAUACCUUUCAAAUGUCCCAUUAACCUUAUAUUUUAUUUUGAAUAUCCAUUUGCAACCUAUGGAUAUUUUUUCCUUAGGUAGGAGAGUUGUCUGCCAUGUUUGAUUUGACUCCAAAGCAGAUAUCUCACAUUGUAUGGCUUUUCUCCAACAGUCAUGUUUCACAACUUCAGAAUAAGUAUUCGACUGAACAUGUGAAAAAGAGACAUAACAAAAGAUGUGUAAGAAGGUGAUAAUUUGUUAUAAAACAAAACAAAGUUCAAAGGAUACUUAACUCUUAAAGAUGUAUUGGAAACCUUAAGAUUACAAUGAGAAUCUUUUAGAUACUCAAGUGGUCUUUUUAUUCUAGUACUCAUUCAAACAAACUGAUGAUUCAAUAUUUUGUUUUGUGUCAUGAUCUUCAUUGAUGUUUUGGUCUAUAUGGGAACAAACUUCUUCUGGAACCUCAAUGUCUAAUUCACAAUUAUUAUUAUUGUUAUUUUCAACAUUAUCACAAAGUGCAAGAAUGGCUUGUGAUAGCUCACUCAAAACAGGUUGAUCUUCAGUAAAAAAAAAUUGAUCAUAAAUGUUAGGACGGUUAGUUUCAUUGCUAGUAUCUUGAAAAACAUGUUCAUAGAAGACAACAUCGCUAGACAAAAAAAAUUAUCUGGAUUGAAUAUUCAACAAGACAUAUACUUUUGUCCCCCUUUUAAAACCAAUAAAAAUACAUUUUGAUGUCCUUGGAUAAAUUUUUCUUUUGUUUGUUGACAAAGUGUUAGCAUAACAUAAAGAUCCAAACACCUUUAAUGCAAUAAAAUCUGCUGUAGUUUUGUAAAGCAUUUCAUGAGGAGAAGAAUAAUUUAAAAUAGGUGUUGGAAGCAUGUUUAUAAUAUGUGCAACAUGUAUCACGAAAUAUGAGCAAUAAUUUUGGGUAAAUGAGAUUUUUUCAUGAGAGUUCUUGCUACAUUUAAUAUAUGACCAUGUUUCAUUUCAACUAUGUUAUUUUGUUGUGGAGUAUUGACACAUGAUGUUUGAUGCACUAUUCCUUUCUUAACAAAUAAAUUAGUCAUGAAAAUUUAGUUCCAUUAUCAUUUCUUAUUAUUUUUAUUGUUGUCUCAAAUUGUGUUUGAACAAAAACAACAAAAUUUUCCAAAGUCUUAACAAUGUCAGAUUUUUGUUUUUAAAGAAAAAUACACCUAUACCUCAAAUAUUCAUCAACGGUCAAGAAAUAUUUAUGAUCAUGAAUUGAUGGUAUUGAGUAUGGUCUCCAUACAUCUACAUGAAUCAAUUCAAAACAUUUUUUAGAAUUAGAUGUAGUAAUAGAAAAUAAAAGUCUUUUUUGAUUUGCAAAAUGACAAACAUCACAAACAAUAGAUUUGUUAUAUUUAACAAAAGGAAAUUUAGUCAUGAUAACAUCAAUACAUUUGUUUGAAACAUGCCUUAAUCGAAAAUGGCAAAGGGUUUCUAUAUCACUAGCACUGACUUUAACAGUAUUGAUGGUAUGUGCAUAUUUGAUGGGUUUGAUUUGAAGUUCUUGAUAGGAUGGGAUCUUGAGUAUAUAAAGUCUAUCUUGCAUCUUAGGUGAACCAAUUAUUUUCAAGAAAUUCUUUCUCUGAAUGUGAUAACCAUAAGAGUCAAAGGUGAGAACACAAGAUAAAUUAUCAAUCAAUUUUGCUACUGAAAAAAAAAAUUAUUAGAAGUGAAACAAGGAAUAUACAUAACAUUGUCUAUGACAUCAUUUUGAUUGAGAAAAAUACUUCUAUAAUAAUUGGCAAUGACUUGAUUUCCAUUUGGUAAUUUGACAUAAAUAGGAAUUAAUUUGAUGAUAUGAAGUGAAAUGAGUUAAGGAUGAACAAAUGUGGUUAGUAGCACCACUAUCAAGAAUCCAAGAACUGAAAGAAGAAAGAAAUUUCUUAACUGUUUGUUUUGUCAUGUUGGAAGGAAUAACAAAAACUUGAUUAGAAACAUUGGCACUAAAUUUCAACUGUUGUAAAAGGAAGACAAAGGAUAUGAAAAUGAAUAUUUAUUCUAUUUUAUUUUCCUUACUUAAAUCAAAGCAAAGAUUCUAAAUAUAUACAAGCAGUACACUCAUCCUAGGUCUAGCUAAAGAGACAAAAUGUAAAAUAAAGAACCAAUAAAGACUAGAAUAAGAAAAGACAAAAUAAAAGUUAGACAUAUAUACAAAGAGAAACAACUAAAAAUUAGAAAAAAUAAAAUUAAUAUUAACUUUCUUAUAGAACAUUGUCCAUAUCCUUUGUUAUUAAUUUCUAUUGGUUUAUAUCUUUUAUAAAAACUUUUCUUUCAUAUAAUUCUAUGUUUGAAAGAGAGUUCAAUCACAUACAUGUCUUCUAUUUUAUAUAAUAUUUUUUACUGUUGAAAAAAAAAUAUAUAAUAAAAUCAGAUGAGUUAAAUAAGAAUGUUAAAAUGUUAUUUAAAUAUAUAAAAUUUUAAUUUUAAUUUUAAUAUAUAUAUAUAUUAUAUUAAAAUGUGAAGGAAUACAAAAUUAAAGAUGACAAAUUCUUCUAGAAUUUUAGAAAUUAUUCAAAUAUAAAUUAUUUCUAUAGUAUAAAACAUGAGCUGACAACUCACAAACUUUUCGCAAUUAUAUAUAUGUUACAACAUUUUCAAUGUCAACGAGCUUUGCAAUAACAUUUAAAUACAUAUUAUUGUGUAAAAUCCACCCUUAUACUAAAGCCAUCAAACUUUAAGCUUGAAUAACACACACGGCUCUCAUAAGAAAUAACAACAACAUAUGCAGAUUAACAUAACUACAUCAUUGGUAUUUUUAUUUACUAAAAUGGUAUUCCUUUAACUGACCAUUGGCACUUUUAUUUAUUUUGCUCAGUCAAAUUUAUGCUAAAAUCCCAUAGCUUCUUAGCCAAAUCCAUGUCCCUUCCCUGCAAAGAAGCUUCUGAAACAUUAUUAUCUGCAAAAUAUUUGCCAUUGAUUCCACUCACUUGUGGGUGCAAUGCUAAAUAGCAUGUUGUUGAUGCUCCCUAUCAUCAUGUAAAACACAAAGAUAGUAAGAAAAAACUUAUAUUUAAUAGUUAAGAACCUAAAAUGAUAUAAUUUAAAAAAAUGCAUAAAUAAAAAAUUGGUUUUAUAUGUAAAGAUAGAAGUUUUCAAGUUAAUGCAUUUUAAGUCUAUCAAUAUUCUUAGAUUAUUAUUGUGGUUUAACUUACUUGCUGCAUAUUUUUGAGCAGAAAUCCCUCUAAGUUAUUUAGAAAUGGACUUAGCAUAUCCUUCAAACCUGCGUAAACCAUACAAAUACAGAUAUAAAACUCAACAUUUAUCACUAUUGCAAAAAUAGUAUAUAUAAAAUCUUCCUAUAAAAAAAGUUUAACAUGAUCGUUGUAAUUGAACACGCAGUACGGAGAAAUUCAAGUUUUAGGUGUGAAAGAUUAAUUAUUACCAUAAAAAAGUCAUUAGUUUAUAUUAUUAAUGAAUAUUUUUUAAAUUGAUAUCUAAUUUGCUAUCAAUGUUUUAGCUACCAACUUUAGAAUCUAAAUAAUUGGUAGCUAACUAUCUACAAAUUUAGAAACUAUUAAUCAAUAGAAACUAAUUUAGAAACCAAUAAUUUUUUUAGUCUCUAAAAUAAUAUUUAAUUUAGUGAACAUAGCAACUGAUUAUUUUUUUAUCUCUAAAAUUGAUUUUUAUUUGAUGUUUUUUUAGUAGUGUGUACAUGAAAAGGGUAUGUGUAGAUAGUGGGAUUUGUGGGGAGAGAAGAAUAUUCCUAUGGCGAUUACAAAUGUAUGUACUAUGUAAUUUAGUUGUGAAAAGAAUGUUGUGAGAGAAUUUAGUUGUUACAAAUGCGUACGACUCUGUCGGGUGGAAUUUCCUAUAUGAUAUGCUGUAGAGGUUGGGAUUCCAUACUAAAUGGAUUUUAUGGAUCAGAAGGUGCAUGGAAUCCGCUUCGGUUUCUAUUUUGGUAAAUGGCAACCCAACUGAUGAAUUUAAAUCGAUGAGAGGGUUUAGGAAGGGUGAUCCCUUAGUGCCUUUCCUUUUUAUAAUAGUAGUUGAAGGCCUUGUUGGGUUAGUCAGAAAGGCUGGAAAGGCCAAAAUGCUAUCAGGUAUGAAGGUUGGAAGGAAUGCGAUAGAGUUCUGCAUGCUCCGAUUUGCUGACGAUACACUUUCUCUAUGUGAAGACUCCUUUUGUAAUCUUGAAGGCUAUUCUGAAGGGAUAUGAACUUGUAUCAGAUAUGAAGAUUAUUUUCCAUAAAUCGAAGGUGGCAGACAUAAAUGUUGAAAGGAAUGCUAUGGAAUACUAUGCAAAGACCUUAAAUUGUACAUAGAUGUCGUUGGCAUAUGGAAUUUGCUUGAAUAAAUCCGUUUUCACAGCCUUACCCCUCUUCUAUCUAUAAUUCUUUAAAGAGCCGGAAUCAGUUUGUAAAAGCAUCACCAGCAUCUCUAAAUGAGGUUCUUGUGGGGGUGAAAGAAGGAGGAAAGAUCAAUAUCAUAGGUAACAUGGGAGGAUUUUUGUAGACUUAAAGAGGAAGGUGGGCUGGGUUUUUAAGGAUAUCAAAAAGUUUAAUGAAGCCCUCCUAGCUAAGUGAAGAUGGUGGUUCCUAACUAAAGAGAAAAGGAAAUGGAGUGCCUACUGGUUUCAAAGUGUGGCUCGGGUGUAGAUAGAAAUAGUACGCCGGUGAAGUUCCAUUCCUGGUGAUGGAGAGACCUAUCUAACGUCUAUCGUGGGGCAAGAGGAGGAUGGUUUUAGGAAGCAAUAGGCUGGAAAAUAGGAGCAAGUGAUAAGGUUAGAUUUUGGGAGGAUGUGUGGGUUGGCAACCUGAAUCUCAAAACAGUAUUCCUGAGUUUGUAUUCUUUAUCUCUGAACCAGGGAGAAAAGGUGGGUGAGGUUGGCGUGUGGGAAGAAUCAAAAUGGUGGUGGAGCUUGAGGUGGAGAUGUGCCAUGUUUGAGUGAGAAUCUCUCAUGGAAGAAGACCUUCUAAGGUACAUAUCUCUAACCAAUUUGAAUAAGGAGGUGAAGGACCUCCAGGUGUGGAGGAUUGAAGAAUCAAGGUUGUUCUCUAUGAGCUCAGUGUAUGUUCACUUAGCUAGUCUCGUAAGAGGUCCUCAUAAUGACCUCUUCAAGUGCUUAUGGAAGGUAAAAGCGCUACCCAAUGUGUUGAUUGCGGCUUGGAGGGUCUUGCUAGAUAGAAUUCAAACAGGAAUGGCUUUGAGUAGGAGAGGAGUGUCGGUGAAUACUCCCAUAUGUCCUAUGUGUCAGGCUAAGGAGGAUUCAAGUCAACAUUUGUUCUUAGAAUGCAUAUAUGCACAGAGGGUUUGGUCUUUGUGUUUUAGGUGGAUUGGCAUUUUAUUUGUGAAACACAAUGAUUUGAAGUGCCAUAUGAGAAUUUUCAUCUGGCUCAGGUGAGUAGCUAACGAAACUUGGUGUGGAAAGGUUUUGGGGCAACCAUAGUGAGGUGUAUCUGGGAACAAAAAGAUUGUGUUAUAUUCAAGGAAGGGGUAGUUGAUGCGGAAGAGAUUCUUCACAUGGCACAACUUAAAUCUUGGUUGUGGAUGAAAUAUAGGAUUCAUUCAUUCAAUUACUCCUUUGCGGACUUGGUCUUGAAUCCCCUUCCAUGCAUUAGAAGCUAUAAGUAAGCGUGAAGGGUUACAGGAAGCAAAUAUAGAGGGAAGAGGUUGAAUUUAGGGGAACUUAUAGUACACAAAGGAAGUUCUUUUUUAAAGGGCGUUGAAGUGUCUAGGAGCAUUCAGACAGGGGGUAGGAUUUGAGUAUGAAUGAAUAGUAUGUAGGAUGCUGAUGUGUGUAUAUCUGGUGACCACAUUUGUCUCUUUGCAGUAGCACAAUGCAGAUUGAGGAUUUGGAAAUUGGUUCAGCUAGGUGGAGUGAACAUGAACCAUUGCAGCUUUGACUAAUAUCUACCUAGCGCUGUUGUGAAUUUUCUAGCAGAUUUAAUAGGUAUGAAGUAAUAAGUUGGAGUCUCUGUUAGGUGUAAUAGGUGUGUUACAUUUGGUUAGGUUGUGUGUUUCUGAAAUCUUUGUUUUGUUAUGGAAUGGUGUGGUGUAUAAGUGGAAAAGAAGGAGCAAAUUAUGGUAGGAGAGGUGUCUGACACAGGGAUCAAGUUGUCACCUACAGGGUGUUGCCUCUGCUCUCUUGGUUCUGCUAUAUCAUUCCACGUAACUCUUUAGCAUAGUGCCACCAAUCCCUGCUUGUUUUUCUGCAGCUAUGUGCUAUCUAUGAUGCAGAUUAGUAAAGCAGUUGCCAUUGUGAUACAGGGUUUUUAAGCUGCCAACUUCAGGGUUCAUGUGUUGGUUUUUUUCACAAUGUUUUCUGCAUUUGUACCCUACUUCUAAGGCAUUUUGCAGCUAUGUGCGAGUGAAGUUUUAAGGAGCUACAGAAUUAUACAGCAGUUGCAGCAAAUCAAUAUGGAGAAUGCAUUGGAGGAAGGAAGAUGAAGAAGAAUGAGCUCUUAGGUAAGCCUUGACAACAUAGUUGCUGUCAAGAUUUUUCACAAUUUGAGGGCAGUUUAGUUUGGUGUAUGGUGCAACUAUGAAUUUCUUUGCAUAAGGGACCUAGUUAACUUCUUUUAUAGAGCUUGUUUUAUGGAAAAGCCUAAGUUUAUUAUCUGUUGUGUUAUAACUGUUAGUUUAAGCUAGCUGACAGGCUUUGAUCUUGUUACUUGUAAUAGGGUUGGGACCCUCCUGAAGUGUCCCCUCUAAUUAAUUUAUUCUUUGUUGAUAAAAAAAAAAUAAUAACACAGCUGCUAAGAGUAUAAUUGAUUGGAUAUUUGUGUUGCAUAAAUGGUGGAUGAUUGUAAUAAGAUUUAUGCACUUGAUAGAACUGUGUUACAUCAUUCCUUACUAUUCAAGAACACAAUUAUUGAUUGGGGACCCAAACAUUUAAGGUUAUGGAUUUGUGGCAGAAGGAGAGAUGAUAUAUAAAAAAUGUUUGGUAUAUAAAGUAGUUUCUAUUAGUAAUAAAAAUUUAUAAAGUAGUUUCUAAAUUGGUAUCUAACCAUUAGCUACCAAGGUUUUAACUACUAAUUACUUUAUAUUCUAAAAGUCUCUAUUAGUUUUUUAAAGACUAAUUUAGAAUCUAAAAUAUUAGUAGUUAAAACCUUGGUAGCUAAUUUAAACACUAAUUUAGAAACCAUUUUAUAAAUUUUUACUAAUAUUAGAAAUCACUUUAGAUACCAAUAAUACUUUAGUCUCUAAAAUAAUAUUUAAUUUAGUCAAUAUAGUGACCAAUUAUUUUUUGUUUCUAAAUUUGGUUGUUAUUUAAUGAUUUUCUUGUAGUGAUAUAUUAUGAAUGAGAAAAUGAAAUAAUUGAAGAAGAACCUGGAAGUGUGAAAUAGAGACAACUUUUGGAACAUAAUAGAGAUACAAUAGAGAACACUUCAAAGAAAAAAGUUAUUUGGAUAAGUUUGAUGAGGAAGAUAAUAUAGAACAAAAAGGGUCGAAGGAGAGAAUGAAGCUAAUGGUAGAAUUAAGAAAAAUUAGUUGUAGGUAUGAAUGUUGAUCAAACAAAAAGCAAGAGAAAAAUGAGUUACUAAAAGAAUUCAAACACAAGGUAAUUUCCAUGCAACUAUAAAUUAGAGGUGGAUUAAUAAUGGAAUAAGAUAUAUUUAAGGAGAAAAUUAAAAAAAAAAAAAUAUAUAUAUAUAUAUAUAAGGAGAAAAAAGAUAUAAAAAUAAGGCUACAAGAUGAAUAAAGUAUAUUAAAAUAGUAAAUGAAGUCUUGUUGUUGAAAUGGAAAUGGAGGCUGAUGACUAAAAAUCUGGAUGUGGAGGGAGAUUUUGAAAUCCAAAUGUGGAAAUUGGAGGAACAUAAAGAAGGACAAUAAGACUAAAUAUGAUUCAUUGUGGAGGAAGGAUUUGGGAAAGGUAUGCAAAAUAGAAGGAACAACAAAAUUUGUUUGAUGCAAAUGUUAUUUGGAAAGUGAAUUCUGAGAGCACAGUCAACUUUUGGAGAAAUAAAUGGCUAGGGAAACUCCGUUCUACAUGAAAUAUCCUAGGUUGUUUUACAAUGCAACUCUCAAAGAUGCUACAAAUACAAAUUUAGGUUGUUGGGUAAAGGAGAGUUGAAAAUUGGAUUUUCAGUGGAGAAGAAGUUGGUAUCAAUGGAAAUUAACUUAGGUCAAUUAGUUGAUGUAGGAAAUAGAAAGUACUAAACUAGUAGUAGCCGGAGGGGAUGGUUUCAUAUGGAUGGGUGAUGAAUAUAUUGUCAAAUUUGCAUACGAAAUGAAGCAAGAAAUAUAUAUGAUCAAAUCAUCUAAUAUGUAUAUAACAUUGUGGAAAAGUAAAGUUAUACCUUCAAGAGUAUGUUUAGCAUGGAGACGGUUUGAAGUUAGGUUACCAACUAAGAUAAUUUAGAACAUAUGGAGAUUACAUGUGAAGACUAAUUUGUCUGUUAUGUGCGAUGUUGAAGAAGAGACAACAAAUAGUAUAUGGAUUUGGUGCUAGAAUUGGUUGGGAACACUUGUGGUUUCCCAAAAAAAACUCCAAGGGAUCACUUCCUUAUGUUUACGAUAUAAGGUAAGUAAGAAAAGAAACAACAUUUGGAGAACAAUGUGUCUAGUUGUGAUAUGACAUAGUGUAUUUGGAAACACAAUAAAUUUUAUAAACCAUUAAAUAAUAUUACAAGAAAAAUAUUAAAUAGAAAUCAGUUUUAGAAUCUGAAUAAUUUGUAACUAACUAGAUACUAAUUUAGAAACUAUUUAUGGAAACUAAUUUAGAUAUCAAUAACUUUUUCAAUUUCUAAAAUAGUAUUUAAGUUAGUCAAUAUAAUAACUAAUUUUUUUUUCUAAAAUUGAUUUGUAUUUCAUGAUUUUUUUUAUGGAUUGAAAUACCGAAAGUAUUUUAUUUAUAUAAUUUUCUUUUAAUGAUAAAAAAGUGAUAUAUACAUGUGAAUUGUGUUUGGAAAGAUGUAGUCUAUUGUAUUUACUAAGUUUGAAUUCAUUAAAUACAACAACGAAUUGAACACAAUUAGUUUCAUUUUCCAACCAAUAUUAAUUGAUUAUGUAUAAAAUAUAAGAUUAAAACAUCAAAAGUACAUUAAUUAAACUUUUGGAAGAUAGUUAAAAGUAUAACAUUAUACAGAUAUAAAUUACUUAUUUAACAAUUUAAAUAGGGUUAUGAUAAUUUUCAUGUAGACUAUUAACUUUAUAAAUAUAUUAUAAUUACCUUUCAAGAAUCGAUUAUGAAGAUAUAUAUUUGUGCAAACAACUCCUGGAUGAAGAGAAUUGGCAGUAAUAUCUAUUCCAUCUUCCUGGACAAUUGCAAUAUUAACCAAGUGUUAUAUUUAAUACAUCAUAUUAUUUAUUAAUUUAAAAAAUUACAUAAGAAACAAGAACAACAACCAUUAACUGUUAUAUGUUUUCAUUUAUUUUCCUAAGAAUACAAUUUUUCAAAAAUAGAAAAUAAAAUGUUAUUAGGUGAUACUUUUAUUGCCAAAAAUUAAAAUAAAUAUUUUUUGUCAAAUAAAAUGGCCUCUCCCUCUUAAAGACCAAAAUACUAAUUAUUAGCAAUAUAUACUUUUGCCAAAUACUUGUUAAUAAUUACCUACUGAAAGGAUAUGCAAUUUCAACGUAAGUGACAUCAAAUUUAAUUUAGUUUCAACAUGAGAUUUGACUUCUCCAAUCCUCUAGUAGUCAACUUGUACCAUAAUUAUACAAAGGUUGUUUACGAAUAAAAAUGACACUCAAUUUUAAAACACUAAUAUAUACACUUUUAUGUAAAUCACUAGCUAUUUUACUUGGUAGCGAGAUCCUUCACUUUAUACAAACCUAAAAGAAAUGUUAGGACUAGAAUUGACAGAAUAUUAAUUACCACAAAAUGGUUAGAUGUAUAGGAAGUGCAUACUCUUUCCAAGACAGAAAUAAGAUUACAGAAAUAAGAUACUAAUAAUAUGUUGACAAUCCUGCACUAUAUAUAUUACAAAUUAAAAAGAAAAAUAAAUUUUUGUUUAAAUAUGGACCCCACAUUUAGAGAUUGAAUUUUUUUUUAAAUUGCAAUGUGUCACAUCACAAUUGUAAACUUAUGCAUUGUCAAAGUAACAUUUUCUAUUUGAGAUUAUUUUCUUAUUGUUUUGGUGGACAAAAAACAAGAUUAGAGACCUAAGUCUUUUAGGAUAUUAGAUGGUUGGUUAAAAGUAAACAAUUUUAAAACUUUUGUAGACACUGAAUGGGAAACUCUCUAGCAACAAGGUUCUCUAGGUUUUGUCUUAAAAGAGAAACUAAAGGCUUUGAAAAGGUAAACUAAAUAGUGGAUUCAAUAGCUGUUUGGAAGCAUUAAUUUUUUUUCUGAUCGGCAAAGAAUAAAAUAAAUUAAUGUGACGUACUUAAGAGGUGCUUCAACCCUUAUACAAAAAAUACAAGUUAUUAGUCUACAAUCAAUCCUAUAGUCCACAAAUAACAAAACAACAACCCAAUAAUAAUAAAAUAGUUGUAUUACAACCUUUAAAACUGGUCUAAAAGGGAAACCAAUUACACAUUUCUACUAUAUGUUUUCAUAAUACGAAGAUACCUACAAGUUAAAUCAAAUCAGGUGUUUAUAAAUCACAUCAACUUUGUGAAAUUAGCUUCUCCUUUUGAAGACAAAGAUACACGAAACAAUGUAUCAUAUUGUGAGUAUUAAUGAACGAUACUCAAAUGUUACGAGAGAAAUUACUGAGAUAGAUAAAAAUGGAGGAAGUACAAAGGCUUAGAGUUGAGGAAUAUGAAAUAAAAGAAAAUUGUAGGAAAAAUUCUAGCAAGUGACUACAUAUUGUGAGUCUUUGGAACGAUUAUCAUACAAAGAAAAUGAUGAAGAAUAACAUGAUGAUCUAAGAAGAAAUUUGUUGUGUGAUGAUAGUGCUUAGUGCAACGAGGCAAUUAUUCUUAGGACCUACUAUGGUGCGGUAUGUAGAAUUAUAUGUUGUAUAAUGAAAGACUAAUUGGUGCAAUAGCUGUUGGAAAACAACGAGGAAUAAACAGGGUCGUAAAGGUUGUCUUAGUUGCAGCGUACCACCCUACCAUAGAAUUGGACUUGUUUUUUUCUCGGUUUGUUGGCUUGGUUCACGAUCCCUAUAUAUAUAUCAACAUAGAGGUAGAAAUAACAAUGUUGGAUACUGAUAAAAAAGGAGUAAAGUGUUAUACUUAGGCCAAAGAAAUCAUGUCUCAUAGAUGUUGUUGUUUGUAAUGUUUUUCUAAUGGAUCAAUUCAAGGGUUGCUUAUGGUCUACAAGAUUGGAUGGGAAUAUUAGUCUGGGUCUAAGUAUUUUUGCUGAUUGUGUUUGGUAUUAAUGAUGGAAGGUCCUUGUUGUUUCUUAUUAGGAUUCUCUGAUUUUGUGUUGUAGUUUUUGUAUAAGGGUUGAAAUAUUCAUAAAAUACCUCUAUUUUUUAUUUUAUUUUUUUGCUGGUUAAAACAAAUUGUGAGUCUCUACAGAGGCAAAAGACAAGAUUUAUGUGGCUUAAAGAAGAGGAUAUAGAAAUAAAUCUAUGCUUACAGAGUUGUAAAUCCAAGGAGGUUGGGAGUAAUGAUAAGUGCCAAAUUUCAGUAAUCUUUCAUAUUAAAAUAUAGGCACUUAUGGAUAUUAAUGUUAAAAUAAGUAUAAAAUAACCCUAAAUAUAUGAAAUUAUACAUUUUUACAUAUUUUGUGAUUUUAAUUUAAAUAAUAACGAUUUAUUUCCAAAGUUGUGUUAAUUUCAGGAUUCCAAGAAGAAUGGGGAUAACUGAGCAAAAAGAGAAUAUACAAAGCUAAAAAGGGAAAGUUGGAAUGCACCAGUAUCACCAAAGCUGCCCCAAACUCGCAAAAAGCCAAGACGCCAUCAGUGGAUCUCGCAUGAGUGAGAUUGCUCUAGUAACCUUAGGUCUUUUUAUGUUUUACUCGCCCAAGUGAGCCCAUUAGUGCCCAAGCAAAUUAGGUUAAAUAGGAGGCUUGAGGCACAACCCUAGUGUGCAAGAUUGAGAGGAAAACACCAUUGAGUGAAUUGUAAACCAAUUGGGAGAAUAGGAGGUGUGAGAAACAUUAGAGGAGGCAGUCGUCAAGGAGAAACAUAUUGGAUCUUCUUUUCAUGCUCUCCCUGCUUGUAACAGUCAUCAUGUGUGGCUAUUUCUACCCUUUGGAAUUGGAACCAAUAUGUUCAAACUCUUAUGUAUUGAGGUGAUAUCUAAACAUAAUAUUAUAUUCUUAAUUGAUGAUUGGUAUUAUCAUUUUGUUUGUAAUGCUUGGUUUACCAUGAUCUAUAAUCUUAAAUUUGACUGGAAAGUACUUCUAAGGUUCUGACCUAAAUGAUAAUACUUAACAUAUUUGAAUGUUAGGAAUAGAUUUGAAAUGUUAAUUGUUAUCAACUUUUGAUCUUAAUGAUAAGUUGUUUUAAUAAAUAUGCGAGUAAUCGAUAUUUAGGAAGCAUCUUAAUAAUUUUAUAUGCGAUGAAUCAAUAUAAAUGAUUUUUAUACAGGCAUCAAUAUCAAUCAAAGGACACAAUAUCGUCAUGCUAAUCAAGAUACAAAAAGAGUGAGAAAGAUGAAACCCAAUCACUAUUUUCCAAUUGAAGCAACAAACUCUUUUGACUUUUUUUCUAAUUAAUAAUUGUCAUCAUAACAAAUCUCAAUAAACUUUUAUUAUUCUGUUUUAUAUUUAGUGAAUAUUUUACUUGAUUAUUCAAUUGUUCCUUGUCACUUCGAUAUCAAUCUUUAGGGACAAAUUAUUACUUUUGACCACGCGGUGCACUUAUCGUAGAAAAGUCAUCAAGUAACCAAUGGGGAUAAAGGAUACUUAGAGUGGAUUUCUUGUGUAUAAAUGAGGGUUAUAAUAUAAUGCUUUCACAAGUAUGUAUGAGCUUCAACUGAGAAUGUGAAUGUGGAGAUGAGAGUAUGGAGCCUCACAAAUUAAUUUGAAGUUAGUUUUAAGAAAGUUGUAUUGGUUUUAAGAUUCACUUUGAGAAAUCAUGAUUUGGUGGAGUGGAAUCUUCUUAUGUAAAUGUUGAGAAUAUUGAAUUUUUAUGAGAAAUGGAUUUUGUGGAUUAUUAGGUGCCUAAAAUCAAACUUAGUACCACAGUGAGAUGUGUGGAUUUUCUUGUUCCUAGUGAAUUGAUAUGAAUGUAUACUAAAGUUUGUUAAUAUUAUAGUUGAAACUACUUUAAUUUAUUGUAUGUUUUUAAUCUCUUCUUGUUUUUAAUAAUAUUCUUCAAUUUAUUGUGGUAUUAGUUUGUUGUGAUGUUCUUGUUUGGUGGAUUUAGUGAAAAUCCAUAACACCUAUCAUUUUGAAAUUUGGUAGCAAGUUAAUAGGGUUUCCUUUGCUGGAAGUAUAUUUUGCAUAGUUUUGUCCUGUAUCUUUCUUGUGUCUCCGUUUAAAUUCCAAAACAAUAGUUUGAAAAAACUUCAAAUAAUUUAAAACAGGUUUUUUUGUGGGGAGCAAAAGAAAGAUUCAUUGAGUAGUUGGGAGAAAGACUAUUGUACAAAAGGAGUGGUGGUAUCAGGUGAAGGAUCUAACAACUUUUAACGAAAUGCUUCUAAGAAAUUAAUGCAAAUGGUUACUACAAUUUAGAGGAAAAACCCUACAGUCCAAAAUCUCAAAUUCUAAGUAUGGAGGGUGGAAAAACAUGUUAGUUGGUAUUUAUUUACUUCUAAAUUAAACAUAACCACUCUUUUUUAGGGAUUUUUAGUAUGUGCAGAUAGAAAUUAAAUAUUUUUUUUCUUUUGAUUUUAUAAAAUGGUUUGGUACUAAUUGUGAUGUCUAUUGUUGAUAAAAAAAAUAUAAACAAAAACAUUUUUUCUUCAUAGUUAAUUUUUUUUAUUAAUUAAUCAAUUGAAAUAAUGAAAAAUUUACUAUGGUAAAACCUUGAAACGUCUUGCAAGUUCUUUGGCAUGUAAAAUGUUAGCAAGCUUCGAUUGCCUAUAUGCACGCCAAUUGUUGUAACUGCACAUAAGAAAGUAAAUGAAUUAUGAAAAACACGAAUAUUUUGCCAUUAUAAUUUUGUAUGUUUGCAUGCUGAUAUGUAAGAAUCAUAACUUAUUGGUUGUAAUAAGGUUGAAGUAUCUCUAAAAUACUAUAUAUUUAUUUAUUCAUUUUUUUUGCUGACAAAAGAAUGUUUACAUGUUGAAAUAUUUUUAUCUUAAAAAAUAUAGAAAUAAAUUAUAAAUGAUAAGGAAAUGAUUUUUGUGUAAGUCAUCAAUAAGUAUUAAGAAGUGAAUUUUAAGCCUAACUCAACUUCAUAAAAUUGGCUUAUAAGGUGAUGUUUGCACUCACUUAUAUAUUAUGAAAUGUCCUUAUCUCUAUUCAAUGUGGGAUCUCCAACACACCUCUUCACGACGAGACUUGCCAACUCGUGUGUGAGACUAUAUAUUUAUGGGUAGUACGAUAGCGGCCCGAUAGUAGGUUGCUUGAUAAGUCCAACAAACUCUUGCUAGGAUGCACUCUAGAUGGUUUUGAUACCAAAUUAAGAAUUGAAUUUUAAGCCUAACUCAACUUCAUAAAAUUUUCUUAUAAGGUGAGGUUUGCAUUCACUUAUAUAUUAUGUAAUGUCUUUAUCUUUAGUCGAUGUGAGAUCUCCAACAAUAAAAAAUAUAUUCAAAAGUUGGUAAGAAAAUUACCACAAAUAAUAAAAAUUUAUAUUAAUGGUUAUUUUAGUUGUGGACAUUAGGCCAACCCUAAUAAAAUCAAUUUAGUUCCAUCAACAUAAAAACAUACACUAUAUUGAUGUUUCCUAUGUGACAUUUUAGUUUUCAUUAAGAAAGUUGAUGUUAUUUCUUUUAUGGCUUUUUAGUGAAAAAGUCAUGAAUCUAUUUUAUAAAAUUUUGUAUAAGAAUAUUUAUAAGAGAAAAGUAAGAAUAACAUAUUGAAAAUGUAUUCUUCAUAAAUUUAAAUUCAUUUAUACAUAAGUAAAUUUAUAGAAAAUAUUUCAUAUAACUUUUCCAAAUUUUACUUUUAAUUUAUGCAUAAAUUAAUUUUAUCUUAUAUAAAAAUAAAUUUAUUUUUUACUUUAUAUUUUUUAUUAUGUUUUUUACUAAAAUACUCCUAUAAAAAAGUCUCAAUAAUCAAUAUGUUAUUGGUAUUGAUAUUCAACUCAAUUUUUUAACAAUGUUUUGAUUCAAGAUCUGCUGAAGAAAAAACAAUAUUUAGGAGAAUGGACACGUUAAAAGUGAUUAAUCAACUUUUUUAGAGUAGAUAAUUUUAACUGAAUAUAUAAUAUAGUUAUACAAAAAAAAAAUUGUUAACAAUGACUUUAAAAGGUUUUGGUAAGCAUGAUGUUCAUUGUGUUUGUGAAAAGGAGAAAGUUUAAGACGUGAAAGGGUAUAAGAUGUGGAGGUUGGAGUUUGAAGAGGCUAGAUGCUUUGUUAGUAGGAACUUCACAUUUGACAAAACUCAAAUGACUAUUAUAGUGGGAAGGAGAAAAUCCACAUUGAGGGGAAUCCUUCUAAUGAUGGAUUAGACCGUCUAGAGGUGCCAAACAAUGAAUCAUUAGACAAUGUAAACUAACAUUUCUAUCUCUUAGUCAAGAAGGCCCAAAUGUACAGAGGUUGAGUCUGACUAUGAACUUGUGUGUGAUAUAGAGAGGAGGAGGAUCAAAUAUGCACAAAGGUUUGGGCAUGUUGAUUUUAUCAACUAUAAUUUGACAACAACUAAAGAGAUAUACAAUUCGAAUCCUAGAAUCUUCCUGAAGGAGGCUAUAGAUUAUGUAUAAGGUUUGCAAUGACAUCUUGGCAUGGAGGAGAAGAUUGAAUCUCUGAGGAAGAACCACACAUGGAUGCUUGUUGAUCUACCGAAAUACUAGAAGGUGUUAGGAUGCAAGUGAGGGUUCAAGAAAAAAGAGAGAAUAUCAUGUGUGGAAGGGUAGAGGUUCAAGACUAGACUAGUGGCGAAAUGGUUUAAAUGAGUCAAGGGGGUAGACUAUAAUAAGAUAUUCUCACAUUUGGUAAAAAAAAUUCAAUAAGGAUUUUGAUGUCUAUUAUUAACCUAUACAAUCUAGUGUUGGAACAGUUAGAUGUGAAGACAACUUUUUUGCAUGGAAUCUUGGAGGAGACCGUCUACAUACAGUAACCUAGAGGGGUUGUUGAAGAAAAAAGGAAGAUAUCUCUUGAAGAAAUCACUUUAUGGCUUUAAACAGAGUCCAAGGUAGUAGUACAAGGGAUUUGAAGACUUCCUAAGGCGGACAAGGUUCUAGAGAAGCAGUUAUGAUAGUUGCGUCUACAUCCUAGAGAAGAAAAGUAUAUAUUUAUUUUUGGUCUUAUAUCUAGGCAAUAUUCUUAUAGCCAACUAAUAUGAAAAUGAAUUGAAGGAGUUUAAAGAAAAAUUAAGCUCAAAGUUUGAAAUAAAGGAUCUAGGUCACGCAAGGCGAAUACUAAGAAUAAACAUACAAAGGGAUUAAAGAGUUGCAAUAUAACGUCUAUCUCAGCAAGGAAAGUUGAAGAAGGUGGUUGAGAGGUUUAGGAGGCAUGAAUAUUAACUUAUGGGAACAACUUUGGGACAUCAGACAAAGCUCUCAAUUACCCAAGCUCCUAGUAUUAAGAUAGAAAUGAGGGAGAUGAAGACUACUAUAUUGUAUGGGAUGAUCUGUAGCAGACCAUUUGGAACAUGUUAUUAAUAUGGUUAUAAUAUUCAUGGUAGGUCAUGAACUGCACAUUGGGAGGCUUUAAAAUGGUUGUUGAGAUAUUUGAAUAAUGGAACAAUAUCGUCUAACCUAGGCGAUUUAUGCAUAACAAAGUUGUUAUAGAGUGAUUUGUAAACGUUGAUUAUACAGGGAAUGUUGAUACCAUAAAGUCACCUAUGUGUAUCCUUUUACAUUGUUUGGUAUUGCAAUUUUCUGAAAAUACAGUUCGUAAUCAGUGGUGGUUUUAUCUACUACCCAGGCAGAGUAUAUCGCGCUCAGAGAGGAGGUGGAGAAGCUAUAGUGAUUGAAGCGAAUGAUUGGAGAGUUGGGUAUUGUGUAGGCCUGUGUGACUAUUUAUUAUGAUAGCCAAAGUAUCAUACAUAUAGUUAGUCAUUAGAUCUACCAUUAGAGGAUGAAACAAAUAGAUGUUAGAAUGCACUUCGUGAGUGACAUUGUUGAGUCUAGGGACGUUAGAAUAGAAAAGAUAGCCUUGGGGGAAAAUCCUACAUAUGUUUUAUGAAGUCCUUCCUAAGAUCGAGGUUUAGAUAGUGUUUAAAGUGGAUUAAUUUGUUGUUAGAAGAAAAAGGAAGUUGAUAUUGGAAGCUCUUUCAUAAUUUGGAGUAAAGGUGGAGAUUUGUGAUGGUUUGGUCUAAAUCAUGUGCAAUAGACAAUCUUCUGUAAAGAUCAUUCAGGUGAUUAGACCAUAUGAUGAAAGAGAGCAGAAGACCAUCUACUAGAGACCAUCUAGUGCAAGCAUUUAUUAGGCUUAAUUGUCUUAAUCAUUUUAUUAUUAUUACUUUAUUUUAGGUUUUAUAUAUCAAUAUCGUUAUGAGUAUGGACUGUACACUCUAAACUUAUUAGACUAUGUGUAUAAAACGUUUUCGUGUUAAUAAAAGUGUUUUAUUUGUUCUUCUUGUUUGUUAUUGUUGAUAACCUAACAAUUUCAACUUUAAAGAUCACUCUCCAAAUAUCUUUUUUUUUUUAGAAGAAAAGGAAAGUUUGGGAGAAUUUUAACGAGGGAGUGGUUAGAUUUCAAUUUUAGCACCCUUUCUCAUAAAAGCAUUAACAUAAUUGAUACUUACUAAAAAAAUAUAUUUUACACAACUAGCAUAUUGUCAUAUGAUUGAUUCAAGAUGAAUCUACUUCAUAAAUUUGAACUACAUUUUACCUUGAUGGAUCAUUAAUUUUCUCAAAAUGGAUUCCUCCAUGAUACGUAAAUCGAUGACCUGCUGAAGAUACAUUAACAAUUCUCCCUUGUACCUUACUUUCUCUUGUUGUUUUCUUCAUAUUAUCCAACAACAGAUUUGUUAGAUGAAAAUGACCUGGGAAAUUAUGUUGAACAAAAUGUAUAGAUUGAGAUUAUUUUUAAAAUUUUUCAACUUUAUAGAAAGAACAAAGUUAUUAGACAUUUUAUGGCAAAGGGUAAAAUGAAUAUGCAUAUAUUUCAUAUGAUAAUUACUUACAACCCCAAACACAACUAGUAUCGUAAAAGAAUAAUGUAAUGAAAUUUAGAUAAAUUAAAAAAUACCUAAAUAAUUUAUAGCAAAUUGAAGUUCAACGUUAUCCGUGGAUAGCAUGAAAGGGGCUGCACAAAUCCCUGCAUUGUUUCUUAGAAUUAAAAAAAACAAAUAAAUUAUUAUUAUUAUUACUAAAUUAUUUCAAUGAAUGAUCACGAUUAAGUAUUUGGAAGGAUAUAUGAAAUAGUAUAUGAAAGAAAAAGUUUAAUAAUGUAGUUGGUGCUUACAUCAAAAUAUUCAAUGGAAGACGAGUUGAAUUAAACUCAGUUGCAAAAUUUUGAACAGAGGCCAUUGAGCUUAGAUCUAAUUUCAUCACAUCAACUUUAGCUGUUGGAAUUUCCUUAAGUAUUGAUUCCUUCACAUUAUUUGCAUCAAUCAUAUCAAUUACUCCCAUAAUCACAUGCACACCACGCAAUGCAAGAACACGAGCAGUUUCAGCACCAAUACCACUUGAU